GACCUGGAGGGAGAAUCGCCUAUGGUAUUGCCUGCUGUAGGAGAGAAUACCACGGCGAGAUCUAACAGUCAUGGUUAUACGCGUAGCUUGGAAAUUGAUUCUACCUCUCGUACUGAGAGGCAUGCUGCCAGGUCAGAUUCUGUUCUACUGGCACAGCGCCGAGACUGCAUACAAAUUUACCCUGAGUGGCUGGAGAAAAUUGAUUCAGGCAAAAAGAUGUGGACAGCUCUCAAACAAUUUCGAGCAAAUGGGAAGCAUGAAGAGGUUAGUAUAUACACAUGUUCUGGUGUGCUUUCUCAUCAAAUAAUCUAUCUAUCUAUUAUAUAAUUAAGAUAAGAGACAAACAAGCCAUCACGUUCGUCCACACAGAUUAAAUUAUCUCAACCAUUAAUUUCAGAUAUUAAGGGCUAGGAUUUUAAGAUAUAAACGUAACAUACAAAUAUUAGUACAGACAUCGUUUGCACACACGUUCUGACACGUACAUGGAUCUGGGGUGCAAAAGUGCAACAACCAUAACGUGCAUGAGAAGGACAGGUAGAAACCAAGUCCGUUUUCAGGUCAAAAAGAAAAAGAAACGAAGUCCUUUUUUUUUUCUUUUGCAAUAGAAGAGGAAAAAAUAGACACGCUAGACUCCCUAAUAAACGGUUUUUUUGUGGCAUACCAAAUAAACGAUCUGACGGACUAUGGCUAGAGGAAAGUCUUAGAAAAAAACAAACAAGUCAUGUCCUACUAGGACACGUUUUUUCGCUAAAAAAAUACUAGGACACGUUCAACAAGCCCCUACGAUUGGAAUAGAUUAAUAGGCCGACAUGUAAUAUUAUGUAAUGGUUGAGAUUUAGUUAUCAACGCAAGCAAUAUUUGGCAUCAUCUUGGGGCAUCUCCCGUUCGGAUUGCCAGCAGCCGCCGGCCACGUCUAGAUGCAGAUCACGUCAAUGGCCGGUGAAUACAAUCCUUGCAUGUAAAUUGAAGAGGAAGGAAAGACUUGAUGCACGUACACACCCAAAAGACUGGCUGGAGCUAGACAUUCGGAUCACAAGCGCACGGCAGCCAUCGGCCACCUCGAGCAGCAGACGACGUUCAAUCACCGACGGGAUCUAAUCCCUGCAUGCAAAUUUAGGCAGAAGAGAAGAUUUGAUGCACGUACACAUCCAAGAGGCUGGAGCUAGACGUUCGCAAACCCACGGCUGUCGCCGGCAACCUCUAGCGGCAUAUCACGUCAGUGGCUGAUGGGAUCCAAUUCAUUCAUCAAAUUGGGGAAAGAGGGAAGACCUGAUGCAUGUAGGCAUCCAAGAGGCUAGAGCUAGACGUUAUGUAUGUUUCUUUCUCUUGAUUUAUUGGUCUGUUGAUUCUCUUGACAGAUCUAAACAACACAUCAUCUUAUAUCUAGAUAUUUACGUUUCUGCUCAUCUAGAUCUAAACAACACAUCAACUUUUGGUCUAAGGGUGAGAAAAUUUGGCAAAAGACAGAUUUGCCAUGCAUGGAUAGAGCAUAGAAAAUCUCCAAGCAGAGAGACUCACAAGUAAAAACCGCAACUGGAAACUACAUGAUGAUUGAACAGGUUUGAUCAGUAGACUACCUGUUUCGGGUACCUGCUAAAGCACAAGCACACAAGAAAAAGAGAAAUGCUACACUUGCAGGCACUUUACACGGACUAGAGCAUACGGACAGUGCUGUCAUCAUUAGAUUGAAGAGAGGAGGGUUCCACCCCUGAAAUUCAGGGGGAGGGAUGAAUUAGAUGCAGCCACGACUGUCUGGCUGUUUCCGUAACUAUUGUCCGUAAGUAGAGCAAUUUUGCAAGAAAAAAAGGUGAAAAACGGAGUAGCAGUCUGAUCCGUACAUUAGGAAGCGGCAAUAUUAAAAUUAUUCUGGUCAUAGAUGAUGUCAGCAAGAAAAUUGUUUGGUCCAAAAUUAGAUCAUGGGCUUGACCGUCCAACAAAGCAAUUUACGAAUUUACAGUACCACUAAUUUCUCUAUAUUAUUCUGAGAGCUGUUUGUAAAAAAGAAGAAGAUAAUAUGAUGUAUUGAUUCCCAUUAUUUCAUACAAUUUAGACCACGCGGCAGACUUAUAGGCAUAGAUUGGGGACGAUGACAAACGAAUAAACAAAAGUAACAGUGUGAAGUCAUAAAUUAUGUGCACACUAUACUUUUUGGCUUUAAAGAAACUAUAUUGCCAAUAUAAUUGAUGGAACAAGCCAAUGUGUUUCUGAGGAAACCAAUGGGCACGUGCAAGAGGACGAUGCACAUAUCAUUUUAAAACUAGAAAAAAUAGAACACCUCCAACAUGUGUUAUUUAGUUCCUUCUGUGCAAUACACAUCGAUAUGUCAAGAUUUAAAGUGCGAGGUUAUUUAGCAUUUUCUAUGAAUACACAUGAAUAAUUGUAUACCAUUGUAUUACACAGCUAAGCAAUAGAGGUAAUUAGAGCAAUACUAUAUUGGCAUGUGUACAAUAGUAGAAGCAUCUCUGUACAUGAUAUUGCACAAUGGAACUGCAGUAAUCACGAGGCUGUUCUAAUAGACAUUAAUGUUAUAUUAUAACUCUUAUUGGGGAAUCUUUCAAAAAUAGUCAGUAAUUUUUUUUUAUAAAAGGACCAUCAUCGAAAAAAGGCAAAACCAAAUUGAUUAGAAGAACAAGAAAAGGAAAAGAUUGAAAAACUCCAUAUGGGUUAGCAUGGCAUGCAGGCAGCACAAUCCUAUAGUUUUCUAUUGUCACAUACAAAAUAUGUUACUACCAACACAACAACAAAAUAUCCAAUAGAGUCCGAUGAUAUAUGCAUUACUUUGCUUUUGUUGACAAAUGUGCAUUGUAUUUUUGGUAUAUGUCUUUAUUUUGCGAGAUAUUAUUUUUUGUAUAUGUCUACCUCUUACCAAUAUGGAUAUAAAGGCACAUCGGAAAUCUAGCCGCGCAAAUGCGUGGGUCACACUGCUAGUUUUUAUUGUGGGUUAAUCAUCUCAUAACAUAAGGAGUGUUUGCUUGAUGGGCAUUCAGACCAAAUAAUGAACGAAUUAGAUCCUAGGCUCUCCAAAAGAUGACAUUGUGUUUUGCUUCAGUUACCUCAUAGAUUUUCAGCCUUUGCGUCAAAAUGAUUUUAUGCAUUUGUUUUCGCACUAACUUGUAUUUUUUUAAGCACAACCAUCCAUAUAUGUGAAGAAACUCAUGGCCACUUGUGUGGUUGAUAGAAAUCAGUUAACAUCUCAAUUUCCUCAUGUGCUAUUGUAUGACUACGGAGGUUUUUCUAACAUGCUCCUUCUUACCUCCCCUUUUCACAUGAGACGUAAGAGUAUAAAGUAAAUCUGAGUCAUUGACUGCAUUAAGUAGUGGACUUGACUAAAUCUUACCUUCUUAACUCCCAUGUGAAAAGAUGAGGUAAGAGGAAGCAUGUUAAAAUGGCUCAUGAAUGUGGUGCUGCCACAAGUGGCGGAGCUUGAGCAUAAUCCAAGAGGGCCAUUACUUGAAGGGGAGAAAAUUAGAAGGGAAUGAGGGGCAAAUAUCUAGUUUAAACACUAGUUAGGCUUAAAAUAUAGUAUAUUCAUUGAUGGGUGCAAAAAUUAAGGGGGGCCAUGGCCCCUGUUGGUCUACAUGAAGCUCCACCACUUGCUGCUGCACAUUCUACAGUGUUGUUAUAGACACUGACUGACUCUUAUUUUUGCACUAUAUCCAAACGUACUAGCAGUCAUAAGACACCAAUCUGUCAGGAUCUCGGCUUUUGGCCUUCUGCUUGGAUGCACUAAAGAUAUUGAUAUGUGUCGCCAUUCCUGGAUGUCGUGAAGGUUACCUGACUGGAACAAAUUGUUCUGGAGAAGGAUAUGGAGGCGCGACAAACCUAAAGCAGCGAUGAUGCAACAAAUGGAAUGUGAUCAAGAAUGGUAUUCUCUCCAGGUGCACACUAGCAAGCAUACAAAUUAGGGUCUGCAUGGAUGACCAAAACACAUGGCAUUUUUUUAUCAACUAGCCCAUCCUUUUUCCUUUGAUCUAAUAACAUUGGUUGCCAUUUCGGGCUUUUGGGCCGAGCUUCGGGCGAGAAAUUGAAGCCCAGGCCUACCCCAGAUGUCGGGCUUUGGGUCCGGCCUCUAGGUCGGGUAGUCCAUGAACAGGUUUAAUUUUAUCUAUUCACUCGCAUUUUGAUCCUCGUUCAUUAUAGCAUUUAACCAUAAUUCAUAUGAACAUGCACCAUGAGAAUAUAAUAAAGGAAAUGCAUGGGUCAAUUUGUAGUACACAACACCUUAUUGUGCGAUAUCACAAGAACAUUUUUCACCUUGAUUACAGUAGUAACUAUUGUGCAAUCUUAUAUAUCAAAUCAUAUAUUAUAUGACAAAUUAAGUAUAUUGUUUUGCUUAUUUCAGUAUUACCUUCAUAAGGAAUAUAGUCACAAAUUUUGCUCCAAACACAACGUUAUUGAGUUCAUACGAAAUGGAACUGUGAAAGGGAAGCCGGUUCAGAAGGUGCCUAAAUACUUGACUUUCAAACAUAUAGUAAUUAUGUGAAGAUGUAUAUGUUUUUUGUAUUAACUUUAAAGUAUUAAUUUGACACGGUAUCCUAUUUUUGCACAGAGAUCAUCUUAUACUUCUAUGAACAAUCUUCAUGGUAUGUCCAGUUGGCCCCAUGCAUUUGGAUAUUAUUUUGUCUACUAUUAUUACUAUAGAGAGAAAUCUAACUGAAACUGAAAUAUAGUAAAUAUUCAUGGAGAGAAAAAUAGACAUUAAUGUCCACAUACACAAAAAAAUUAACCAGUAUUGUCCUAGUUUACAUGAAUUAAUAUUUGCAAUGACAAUUAGGUUACUCAUGACAUGAUAAAGAAAAAGUUUUUUUGUGAGGUAAGAUAAGGUUUUAUAUAACUGUUCAUGGGGACCUCCUCAUGGUUGCAGAUACAUAGUUUUACAGUGCUUCAUGAAAUAGUUGCAUAUCACUGUGACACCCCAAAAUUUUUAACCUUGUUUUAUUAGUUAAAUUUUUGCCAGGAAACUUAAACUUUUGUUUUCUGGAUUUUCUUUUGAUUUCAGAACCUUUCUUCCCUUUAUUUUUAUGGAGUUUUACCCCAAGUGAAAACAUUUCAAUUAUUGUUGGAAUUAUUUUUCCUCUUUAGUAAAACAAUUCUUUUAUCAGUGGGAUUAUUUGCAUAAUUUUUCCCUGAGGCCUUAUUUCUGUAAAAAUGAUUUUUUUUAAGCUUCAGGGCCUCUUUUGCACUGCAACCCUUUGAUAAAUUCAUUCAAAAAUUCCACCAAAAUUUGGAGAUGUCAUGUGAUGUUUUUAAAACACUUUUAUGCUAAAAUAUAUUUCAUUCCUUGGAUAUUUUGAGUUCUACACCAAGUUCUCAAAUCUGGUCCAGAGGACAGUUUUGCACUACAACCUAUUUAAAUAUUUCUUUAAAACUUCUACCAAAAUUUUGGGAUGUCAGUAGGAGCAUAUUAUUCCAUUAUAUGCAAAAUCCAGGGAUGUUCUUUGAAAUAUUUGAGUGAAUCAUCCUCUUAUUCAUUCUGGUGCAACUUGGUGAUUUGCACUGCAACCAUCUUCUAACUUGCUCCUCUACCCAUGAGCUUUCUCCUACUUGUAGUACACCUUACCAAACCCUUAAGUCCAAGAGCAUGAACCCAUUGGGAGAAUUUUUUUUUGUCCAUGCAUUGAUGCCAUUUACCUUCUGUCCAGAACUGAAGAUUUGCAAAACUUGCACUAGCAAGUUUCUUCUUUUGGCAAACUAACCUCACCACUCUCUCUUUCACCUAAAGAGACCCCACUCUGGAAGAUUUGACCAUUCCAAGAAAUGCCUAGGUGCAUGUGGCAUUCUGUCAAACACCUUAUGGGUUUUAGUUUGCACUAUGAACUUGCUUCCCUUGCCUAACUACCUUGUCCAAUAAACUCCUAGCUACCCCUAACCUAGGUCUGCUAAUUCCUAGCCUCAUCCGAGGCCUCUAGCUUGCCCUGGCAUUUUGUCGAGCACAUCCCGUGCGUGCUCUGGGCGCGAGCAGAGCACGCGUUUUGCACGUACCGCGCCCGAGCCGCCACGUCGCGCCCCUGGUUUUGCCCACACCACAGAGCCGCGCCACGCACUCUCCCUCUCACCAGAACACGCCAAGCAGCCCUGGUGCCCUGCAGCACCGCCGUUAGAGCCCUUGGCGGCACGCUGGCGUCCGCAGCGCGUCUCUGCCCGGUCGGUGCCGCCCAAGCCUCUCCCGCUCGCCACCUGCCCCUGGAACAGCUCAGCCUCAUCCUCUCGCGUGUCCUCUAGCUCUCGUCGCCGCCACGACGCCCUGCUGCUAUAGAGAGGCGGUUCGCCGGUGAACUUAUCCACGGCCGCCGCAAACCGACCUCGUUACACUAUAAGAAGAGGCCCCGAGAACGUCCCGUUCCACAGGCAGCCUCAAAAUGCUCCCCUAGUUCUCCCGUGGCAGCCAAUCGACCCGGGGAGGUCUUCUUCCCCACCUCCGGCAACAGCAGCCGCCGCCACUGUCCCGGCCAUUCCGGCGCCACCAGAGCCUCCCCCUCUCCACUCUCUUCACCAUGAGCUUCCUCUCCCCCUAGUGAAUCCAUCCCCCUGCUCGAUUUUGAUCGAGACUCACUGCGAGAGAAAAAUCACUUUGCCCGACGACCACCGUCCACUGCGAAGCUCGCCGCUGGCAGCUUCGUCCACCCCAGAGACCGUAUCAACCACCGGAGUGACCGUCUCGAUCCCCUGAACCCGCGAAUGGCCUCCGUUUCCUGAACGGUGCCGCCAUUCGCCCGCGAGCAUCGCCGGAGCUCCGCCUAUGUUCGGUUGGAGGAGGCGACGCGCGCGUGGACUGGUCAAACCUGACCAGUGGGCCAGGCGGGUCCACUGUCAGUGACCCAGUGCCGAUCCACACAGGCAUAAGUGGAAACGUAUUUUUAGAAUACGCCUUCGACAUGGUCAGUUCGAAUCGUUUUCUUUUUAUUCUGUUUUAUUUUAAAAAAAACAGAUUUUGACCACAGCUUUGACUGCCUAUAACUUUUUAAUGAUAACACCAAAUGAAUUGAUUCCUUUUCCUACCUCUCUCAAAUUUAAUCUAGUUUAUUUUAAGAUUUAUUUAAAAAAAUUCAAACAACUUUUUGUGCUGUUUUGAAUUUGUGUGUUGAUUCAAAUUUUAUUUAAAAUAGGACUUUGGAGAGUGAGAAGCAAACUUUCAAAAGUUUUGGAGUGCACCCUGCCUUUCCACAUAUUGAAGGCAAGCAUUCUGAACCCUGGCAUAAUAUUUUGCAUGCGUUGUUUGACACGAUUAUGACACCACCUCAGUACGUGGAACUCGUUAGUUUAUGUGGUGAUGUGAUCGUUUGCAUAAAUGCUUAUUGGAAAUUUCCUUGCUGUUGGAAAUGGACAUGCUUGUGAUAGUGAUCAUCCUCGUAUGCCUUUCAUGCCUACCGGAAGGAAAACGGGAAAGUCUCUGUCUUGGGUAGACCCGAGCUUGUCCCUAGUUCCUCGUCGAGACGAGUGUGUCUGGCAUGGCAUGAGGGGUAUGAUGAGUGGUGAUUCUGUCUGUUGGAUGAAAUAUAUUCGUUAUGCUAAUCAUGCAGUGAACACUUAAAAACCUCCUGAGUCGGCCAUAGAUCGAGUCUUGUUCCAGUAACCCCCAUACUUGUUUCGUACUACCACUUGUCUCUACAACAAGUAGAGUACGGUUCACUAAGUCUUCAACCCCUUUCUAGCACACACCAUAUAGAGAGGCCAUGGUGGAAGAUACCGGUUGUAGCUGGUAGGCAGGCCACCUGGUCCGGGGGCAUGGGUGUUUCCGGUUGAGACCGAGAGGGGAGGCCACCCCUUAGAGCGCGCGAUAUAAAUUUGAUCCCAUGCUACGCGAGGUUGUAGCAUCCCCACUUAGAGUUUUGCUUAACAAGUGUUGUGGGUGAUUCCAGACACCGGUAAGUUAAGCUGGUGUGUGCAAGUUAGGUGUGUUUUCAACUAAAAGGCCGUAGACGGAAUUAGUCCCGAUGGACUAAAGGAAUCCGUUACUCGUGGGUAAAGAGUACACCCUCUGCAGAGAUUAAACCUAUUCGAAUAGCCGUGUCCAUGGUUAAGGAUUACAGUCUGGGAUGGGUCAAGUGUCGGUCUUAGUGUCGGUCUUCGGAGGAGAAACUGUUAUACCAGAACUGGGAUCACGACUUGAGACUUGUAAUGAUUAUGAUUAUUAUUUUGUUGUGGACUAACCCGUUAUGUAAUUGGCAUUAUCGAAUAUCCCUGGGAUGGUGCUACCUCCUGGAUAUUCACUGUGAUUAUUUAUAAGCCCUUUAUGUGGUGUCACUGAGACGCCCGACUAUGGCAUGCUUGUUACUUAUUUACUUUAUAAGCCCUUUAUGUGGUGUCGCUGAGACGCCCGACUGUGGCAUGCUUGUUACUUAUUUACUUUAUAAGCCCUUUACGUGGUGUCGCUGAGACGCCCGACUGUGGCAUGCUUAUUAUUUACUUAUUUUGUAAGCCCUUUAUGUGGUGUCGUUGAGACGCCCGACUGUGGCAUGCUUGUUAUUUACUUAUUUUAUAAGCCCUUUAUAUGGUAUCGCUCAGACGCCCGACUGAGGCAUUUCUCUUUGUUUACUAACCUUUCGAGGCGUCGCUUCAGACACCCGAUCGGUGCAUUUUAUUAUUAAUAUGUUAUUGCAUAUUCAUAAAUAACCUGCUUGCAUGCAUCAGAGUUUUAUUAUCUUUUGUGACUAACGUCGUGAACUUAAAAUAUUUCAGAACAUCGUUGUUAUAUUAUACAUGUAUUCAUAAUGUUUGCGAGUACAUUCAAAGUACUCACUGGCUUGUCCCUGGCUAUUGUCUUGGCCAGAUUUCUUGCGCGGAGAAGAGCGACUGUGAUGAUAGCUCUGGAACCUAAGCUAUGGUGAUAGCAGCCUCGCGAAGAUAGGAGUUAACCUGGUCAGCUGUUCCUGUGGGAAAUGGAGUCCCAUAGACGCUGAUGACCCACAAACUGCUUCCGCCAUCAACCACGAGAAACCAUUUGUUGUACUCACAGGCCAUAAUGAUCUUGUGCUACAUAUUUUGUAUUUUGCUUGGAAUUCUGUAACAAGUUGGUGCCUCAUCAGCUAACAGUAAUCCUGGGGCUCGUGAGCACAAAGGCCAUUUUCUGGGAAAUUAUUACCCGGAAAACCGGUCGCCACAAUCACCAUGUCUAAAAGAAGAAUCAUGACGGACACAACUUCAAGAAAUUCUUCUUGUCAAAUAACAUGAUUUGUAUAUAGCUCAUAGAGGAUAUAACUUGUUGGUAGAAUUUAAUAUUGUGACACACUCGCCAUCUUUUGUGCCAGCAUUAUUUGGGUGAUGAUUUAAUAUCCAAAAGCAUACAGGUAGUUAUGUGCAAUGAUAUUCUUGUGAAAAUAACUUCCAUAGUGUAUACUUGCAUAUAUGUAUUGCUCUAUUGUAUUCUCACAGUUAAUCCUUUUUCUUAAUUUUCUGUUUGUUUAUUUAUGUUUAGAGCAAGAUUAUAAAUUAAGCUGAGCAUAAUUUCUGCAGAUUAUAGAUGGCCCAAUAAAGACAAAGGGCGAAGGUACAAACUUCAAGUAAUUCUUCUUGCCACAUAGGUUUUUCUAAUUGUGCGAGCAUACCAGUUGUAACUGCCUUCAGUCAUCUAUGUCAGUAGUAUUUUGAGAAGAAUUUCAUUACAAAAUGCAACGACUCAAAUAAUCAGAUUGUUCAUGAUGAUUCCUAAUUGUAUAACCAAUAAGCUUAACACACCUUCCUAUUUUAGAGUUGUUAUCUUAAUAAGUAUAUACUAUAUGUUAUUAAUGUUGUUGUUGGGUGAAGAACAUUUGUUGCUCAUGGUUAGAAUGCAGAAUUUUCUUAACACAACAACCUAGAGCGAAUGUGGAGGCCAAUAUAGAUUAAAACCAUUAAUUCAUAUUAAAAUGGUCAUGACUUCUUAUUUUUAUUUGACAUAAAUGUUUGUGACUUGUUUGAAUUAAUGUGUUCUGCAAUUAUAUGAUACUUCCAUAUUCAUACUAUUUUUAUGAAAUGUGCAGCUAGUUUGUCAACAGGAGCACGAACAACCACAACUUCUACAAAGCUUCCACAUGGUUUCAUUUAGUAUCAUGCAAAAGACAUUGAGACAAUCAAGAUUACUUGAGCAACCUGAAUUAUGUUAGUUGUUACCUGCUUUCAAACGAAUGUGUCCUCUCAUAGUAUGCAUGUACUUCUGUUGUUGAGGAAUUUAUAUCAUUAGACAGUUCUGUUUUUCAUAAUUAUUGAUUAAUGGGUACAUACCUUCAAUCCUGGAAGAUUAUCAGAUAGCCAGCCAAGGAAGCGAUUUGUUUAUUGAAUUGGGCAUAAUAGGAACAUUUUUACAUUCAAAGGAACAUCAUAGGAAUAAUUUGGUAUUUCAAGAAGAUUUUCCAGUCCCCUGCCCCAACCUACUGGAGACAGUAUGAGUGGUGACAGACACAUUUGUAACAUACGAGCAAGCCAGUGCAGCAGCUUCAGUCACAUGCUCUGGAAGCCCAUUUUGGGUCUUCCUUUAGAAGGCUCAACAAGGCCAUCAUCACACCAUUCUAGUUAGUUACUUCUGCAACGAUAUAUGUCCGUAAGAACAUAAGAAGCUAGGGUUCUAGUAGACUUAUAAUGCUCUAACAGCACCACGUUGGAUAUGCCCGUACAAAUAAAAUAACUUGAAUCGAGUCUAUAUGUAAGAACAUAUCUUGUCAUCAGUCAACUACUAGUACAGUAAGAGCAUCAAAGAGGAAUUCAUUUCAUAUAGAAUAGUCGCAAUCAUAUACUUUUGUUCUGCACAUACUGCUCAUUAUCAUGGACAAUGAUGUAGCUAGCUAAAAGGGGGCAUGUGGCUAUAAUGUAAGCAGGGAGGCUCCAGGGACGAGCUCAACAGACAGAACUAACCUGCUCUUGCAAGGAACCAGUAAGCCUUGCUACAUUGUCACCUGCAUGCUGCAUGGCAUCGCGUCCACCAGCUAUUGUGGUAUGUCGCAACUCUUUCCUCACAUCUUUUCACCGAAGCGAUCGUUGGCGAAUUCUAAUCUUUCUGGAACAACAUUCCUAAUUCCCUGCACUAGAAGGUCAUCAUGAUGCAUCGGUACAUCGGAAUUCCGGACACAUUAACAAAAUCUUUGCCCAAACCAAAUUAAGGGGGAAAUGAGAAAUGAAGGAGAGAACCAAAUAGUAAGUUAGGUUAUAUAUAUGUAUGUAUGUAUCUAUAUAUAUAUAUAUAUAUAUAUAUAUAUAUAUAUAUAUAUAUCGUUCAUAGUAAAAACAACCGGAAGUGUAUCCAUGUUGUUUGCUUAGGUGGCUGAAAUCAAGGUCCUAUUCACUGGGAUGAUAAACCUACUAAAUAAAAGGGUUCUCAAAGUCCCCUCAGAACUAGAGUCGAGUAACACAGUCAUGGUCCCAUGGGGUUUCAGGAUAACGACAUGAAAAUGUGGUUAACACAAUCAGCUCUCUCAUUAAGAUUUGUCUUAUUUUUAUCACUACGGGAAAAUUCAUGUUUGCAGAGUGUUAGUGUCUUUGUUGAGUGCAUUAUGUUGGGCACUCGGCAAACAUAUCUUUGCCGAGUGUAAUCCUGAAACAUGGUAAACAUGUGCUUUGCCCACUGUCGUGGAAAAAAACUCUGGCAAAAAAGUUAUAGUUACUAAAAGGUGCUUUGUUGAGUGUCUUGGAAAUAACUCUCGGCAAAAUAGUGGAACUCGGGCAAAGAUGUGCUUUCCCGAGUGCUACACUCGGCAAAAGGGGGUAUGCACUGUGCUCACUGUUUUGGCUGUCGAGAUUGCAUACAACCUUGGAUGAAGAUGAUCCAAAAAUCGAAGUUUUUUAUUUCGACAAGAUGAAUAGUUUUCAUGUUGAGGACCUUUUCAUUUUAGGCCAUAUUAUUUACACUUUUUGCCAUGCCAAAAUAUGGUCCCAAAUGAAUAAGGCAGUGGUCAUAUUUAUUGCAUAGUUUAUGACUAUGGUCCUAACCUUGGCAUUUAUGUGCAUCUUGCCAUUACAAACAAUUUUGCCAAAUAGAGAUUCCAACAUUUUGUACAAAAAUAAUUUUUUUAUUUUUGAAGCAUAAAAAAUUGAUACUUUUGUGAAGCUGGUAAAAAAAAUAGAGUGCAAAAUGGCAUCACUCCAAUUUUCACAAAAAUAGACCAUGCUUUUUUAGAAAAUUCCCAUUUCUUGUGGAUUUUCUAGAUUUCUAGCUACUUUCACACAUUUAUAUGACUUUAUUAUGAUUCCGCAAAAUUAAUUCAAUUUGAACUGUAAUUGUGUGAUAGCUCUGUCCUAGAAAUUUGCAAAAAAUACUUUUAAGUACACAAGUAGUCAUUACCUGGAAAACCCACUUAGAGUUUGAGAGAUUCAACCCCUUACAUGAGUAGCCAUGCCGGCCACUUUCACCCCGUUUGGGAAAAAAUGAAACCAAAAGGAUACAAGUUCAAAAAAUGCAAUCCUUUCAUAUGAACUCCUUUUAUCUGUACUAGUGUGGAUGAAAAUACCAAACUUUCAAUAUGACAGUUUUCAAAGAAAAAUAUCCUUCACAAAUGGGCUAUCCUCUAUGAACAUUCAUGGCUUUCAAGUCAAUGACCAAGGUGAUGACCAUAUUCAUUGCAUAGUUUAUUAUAAUGUGCCUAAAUUAGACAUAUAGGUGAACCUUGCCAUUACCAAUAAUGUUGCAAAAUAGAAUUUCCAACUUUUUUGUUCAAAAAAAUCAUUUUCUAUUUCAGUAUAAAAAAUGGGUGUUUUUUGUGAAGCAGGUACCAAAAACAGGGUACAAAAUGGCACCACUCCAAUUUUCACAAAAAGUAGACCGUAUUUUAUGGACAAUUCCCAAAGUGUGUAGAUUUAUCUCUUAAAAUUUAACAAUUGGUGUAUUUUUUAAUAUUUAAUGAAAAUAAUAUAUGUAUUUUUAAUAGGAAGGGCGGAUAUUUAAAGGAUAGCAUAGACAUCUGAGGGUGUACGUUAAAGCGUUGGAGGUACCUUUAUGUGUCAGUUUACGCCAUGCUCAACCGGCAAUGUGGUAGUAUUAAUCAGUAUAUACUUUUGAUUGUAAAAGAAAUCAAUAUAUAAUUUGUUUGGAUUAUUUUAGUUUGCAGGGCAAACUUAAAAUGGAUUUAUUUAGCCUAUUUUUGUGAAAUCACUAAUUAGGAGGUACCUUUUGCAAAGGUCACACCCCACUUUCAUUAGUGCUGACAGGUGGCACAUGGCAUGUGUGUCCCUUGUCGCAACAUGGGAGUUUCCCCUUUUUGUAGAUUCAUUUUUUAAAAUCUUUUAUCUCUUGAACCGCGCAUUCAAAUCACGACCCAUUUUUAUCGUUGGAUUUCUCCCGCCGAGAUCUUUGAAACUAGUCACAUGUUAAUAAGUUCCGAUGAACUUUUUCUUCACGAAAAUCAAACAAAAAAAUAUGAAAACAAAAAAUACAGAAAGCAAAAAAAGAAAAAAAAACUAAAAUCAAGGUUGUGCUUUUUUACAUUUUUGGGAAGAAAAAGUGUGCUUUCCCCUUUUUGGGAAACACGGUUUUGCUUCUUGUGCAAGCAUAGGUCGUGCUUUUCCCUUUUCAAGAAGCAUAGGCCAUGCUUCUCUUGUUCUCCGGGAAGCACAUAUGUGCCUUUCCUUUCGGGGAGCACAGUUUUCUCUUUCGGAAAAGCAUAGAUGUGUUUUUCCCUUUUCAGAGAAGCACUACCUAUGCAUCUCACCGAAGAACAUGCUAUGCUUUUCCUUUUUUGAGGAAGUAUAGUUGUGCUUUCCCUUUUUUACAGGGUAGCAAAAAUUGUGCUUUCUUCCUUCUCGGGAAGCUAUGCUUCCCGCGGAAAAGCACCGCCUCAUGAAAAAACAUAAAAAUGUUUUUUUUUCAUCAAAACCUAGGGAAAACCAAGAAAAAAAAGAAAACAUGUGUAAAAAAAUCUAAGGGUGAACCCAGUGCACGACACGUGGCGGCAAUUGGAUGCAUCACUUGAUGCGCUCUCAGGUCCUAAAAGUAGCCUAUGUGGAAUCCCCCGAUGAGAUACCCGUUAGAUAGUUGGAGACCUCCUUGCAUCAAAUAGGAGGGUGGCCACAAAGGGGGCGCAUCCUGGUGGGCCGGCCCAGCAGCGUGCUACACUCUAGCGCAAAUUGGUCAAAAUCUAAAAAGUGAUGUGUGAUCAAAGCGCGCAUGGCUAGCCACUCAAGCUAAUGAAACUCUGCUAACUACUAGGCCGUGUUGAACUUUAAAAAGUACUAUAUGAUACCCCGCGCGUUGUUGCGGGAACUCUUAGUACUUUACAUGAAGAAGCUUGUGGAGUGAAAAUAAUUAAAUGAUGAAAAUAUACACUUUUUAAAACCUUUGGUGGUACUUGUAGGAACAUUAUGGAGUGAAAAUAAGUUAACAAUUAAUAUAUUUUUAAACCUUUGAUGGUAUUUUGAGAAUCAUGAGAGAAAUGGUAUAUUAGGGUAUCUCUGUAUUUAUGUAGUUAGAACGCGCCACCCUUCAGCGGGGAAUUAAAUGCAUCGCUAACAUUAAAAAAUAGAGCAUAUAGUUUGAUGGGAAUUUCACUGAAAACAUGGCCAGCCAAGUCUAAAGCUGAAUAUUACACUGAACAGAGAGCCCAAUCAUUGCCUAACACAAAAGCACUAAUGCUUGUUGAGUUAUUUGUAAUAUAGGAGCAGAAUCCCUUCGAAAGAGAAAUUCCAAAAUAUUAAAAAGAUCCAACAGUAAGACAUCCAUACACCUUACAGUUUAUACAUGGAGACAAGCUACAUACCAAUCGCUAAAAAGGUGAAUAUAGAGUCAUGCACAUCAGGCCCUCAUGGCAUAGAUGCAUUUCUUCCACUAAAAGGACAUGCCUUAAGGGGAUUAGUGUAGGUGUGAAGAUCUGGACAUAUAAAUGGCAGGAAUGACUUCAUCUUCCUACCCCUUCUAUGGAAACAGAGGCCCGACUUCAAUUGGGAUCCGUUUGACAUGUUGCUCCCUCUUCAUAAAAUGGAGCUGAUCGUUAUCUAAAAGCAAGCUAGGUAGAUUUGGCAUGGCCAGCAGUAGUACUUGCUACUUUGCCAGUUGUGAUGCAUCAUAUGAGAAGGCAAGGAAGGUUGUGUGCUGCCAUGGCCGGACCCUUUGGGGUGCCAAAUGGUGUUCAAAUUUAUAGUAGGUUCCAUUUUUGGUGGGAAUCCAAGGAAAAGAAGGCAAUGGAGUAAGAUGACAACCCAUUCCCAGACUGCCACUCAAAAUCAAAAUGAAGAGGGUAAAUAAAUGUACUUACUAAGAACACACGGAUAACAUAUAGCUGGCUACAGAAACAGCCAAACUUUGUAAGUCCACGGAAAUUGAGGAAAUUGUGAAAACUAUUUCUGUGAGUAGAAGGAAACGUAGUCCAGUUACCUUUCAUGGUAAUGCUUCUCUUGAGACGAUUCUUAGGAUCCCUGAAGAAUGUCUUCUGUUUUCCUGAAGCGGGAUUCCUUGCUAGAGCAGUACCUUUUGUUCUCUUGAGUUAAGGCAGAGUGGGAAAUACAUCACUAUCAGCUCUAGUUCAAUUGCUUGUAUUUUACAAAAACAUACAAUUGAAACAAUUAUCAGGAAAAGUUAUUACCUUAAUCGCAGCAACUCUUUGAGCAUGCAAUUUGGCGUCUUGGUGUAUAAUCUUCAUGUGUAAACAAUUUGUUUUAGCAUCUAGACUCUAUAAUUAAAAUUAAUAAGUUCUUUAAAAGCCAAAGGCAACUAUAUAGACCAAUACAAUUAAACAAAGGCAGCGGGUAGGUUUCAAAUUUGAAGUAGCAGGGCUCCAUAGUUAACUCUCCAUCAUGCAGGCAUUUAGUGUAGUAGAUACAAGACAUACGUGUGACAGAUUGCAUAUGAACAACAUUUAUUAGUAGGAAAAUUGUACUACCGUAUAUUGCACUAACACUAACUAUAUGAAGAAGCCAAUAGCAUGUAAUUUCAGCUUGCAAGAAAGCGCCACUUACUCUUAUAGAUCGGCUAAUCUACAUGGCAACUUCCGGGGAUGGUGAUGGAUAAGUACAGUUGGAUCGUGUUUAGGUGUUAAUCUAUUUUUAUAAAAAUCAUCUUCCUUUACUUUCAAGGGAGAACUGUAGAGGGGAAAGAACAACAUUUUUUAAUCUAAUGAUCCAUCACUUAUUCACAACUAUUGCAAUAACCAAGUAUGUUGGAUGCAAGGAGGAGGUGAGAGUGCAGGCAACAUGUAUGUCACAUCAUGCGAACAGGUGGGGAUCAUGUUAAGUCAAUGCAGAAGGAUGCGUUGUGUGUCCGCGCACCGUCAACACCGCCGAGUAAACAGUAAACUAAACCUGGGGACCAGCGCUCUUGACCUUCCCAGCUACUUCUGGCAUAGGGGGAAUAUUUGAGGAUUUAUAGUGCUGAGAUUAGGGUUNNNNNNNNNNNNNNNNNNNNNNNNNNNNNNNNNNNNNNNNNNNNNNNNNNNNNNNNNNNNNNNNNNNNNNNNNNNNNNNNNNNNNNNNNNNNNNNNNNNNNNNNNNNNNNNNNNNNNNNNNNNNNNNNNNNNNNNNNNNNNNNNNNNNNNNNNNNNNNNNNNNNNNNNNNNNNNNNNNNNNNNNNNNNNNNNNNNNNNNNNNNNNNNNNNNNNNNNNNNNNNNNNNNNNNNNNNNNNNNUCCUCCCGAAGCUUCCUAGGUUUCUUCUGGUCCAAGAAAAAUCAUCGUAAAGUUUUAUUCGUUUGGACUCCGUUUGAUAUUCCUUUUCUGUAAAACUCAAAAACAAGAGAAAAAAACAGAAACUGACACUGGGCUCUGGGUUAAUAAGUUGGUCCCAAAAAUAAUAUAAAAUAACAUAUUAAUGCAUAUAAAUCAUCCAAAAUAGAUAAUAUAAUAGCAUUGAACAACCAAAAAAUAUAGAUACGUUGGAGACGUAUCAGGAUCAUGUUAAGUCGAUGCGAAAGGAUGCAUUGUGUGUUCGCACACUGGAUGCUUGUAUUUAUAUGGCUCUAUCAGCGUCGCCGAAUAAACUAAAUCUGGGGACCGGUGCUCUUGACCUUCCCAACUACUUCGACUGGAAAUCAGAUCCUCCAUGCCAAAUAAGAAAGACCAUUCAGGUCGUGCUGAUUGAGAGGAAAGAGACCACUCACCUCCGACAAUGGCACGUGUGGCUCGCCUGAAGGUCCUUGGGUUGAAUCCACGGUGUUGGGCUAGCGUAGCACCCAUUGGCGGCAAUCAUGGGGCUCCAAGAUGGCGUCACCAUGUAGAUGUCUGGUGUUGUUGGCCAUAGACGGUUUUGUCAAAGGCGACGCAUUAUGGAAAGAUGGAUAGAUGAAAGAGGGGAGGAGAAGAACCUGGAAGACAAUAGAUAUUUAUUGGUGAAGGGGAGAUGAACGGAAUCAUCGGGCGAAGAGGUGAUGGCUCGUGUCCGCAUUAGUAUUUUCCCCGAAGAGGAAGGGAUGAUGCAACACAGCUACGGUAGGUAUUUCCCUCAGUGAUGAGACCAAGGUUAUCGAACCAGUAGGAGAACCAUGCAACACUAUGUAAACGGUACCUGCACACAAAGAACAAAUACUUGCAACCCGACGCGUAAGAGGGUUGUCAAUCCCUCCCGGGUAAAAGAUAGAUUGGUUUCUAGUAGAUUGGAUAAAUAGAUCUCGCGGAAACCCAAAAUAAAAUAAAUAACAAAAAAUUGCAUCAAGGUAUUUUUGGGUUUUUAGAAUAAUAGAUAUCUAUACCUACUAAUAAAAGAAAUAGGUAUUCUUCGUCCGUCAUGCUAUUUUGUAGAAAACCCCCUGAUGUUUCUGACAUUAAACCCGCAGUACAUAUCAAGUGCUUUUUAAAAUACUCAUAAUUUUAAACCAUAACUCCAAAUUUAACAUAUUAUAUAUGGAAUUUAAUUAGAAAAUUAUUUAGAAUCUAAAUAUGAUGUUAUUUUACCUAUUAACAAUUUUUAAAAUAAACUAUCUAGGCUGCAAUGUUAAUCAACAAUGCAUUAUCCGUCUUUUUUUCAUACCGGUAUUGAUUUAGAUUGGGGAUGAAAACCUCAGCAAAAUCAGGAUUGGACAUCAGAUUGAAGAUAAAUUUGUUAGAGACACCGAAUAAAUAAGGACAUGCAUGACAAGAAAUAAAAAGAUCCAAUAAAGAUGGGAUGUCCGCUAUAAAAAUAAAUAAAAGAGAAAAUGCAGAGGAGAUCCGAUAAAGAUGAGAUGUUGCGCUAUUCUCCUAUAUAUAAGAAGAGUAAAAGGAGGACAUGCAUGAAAAAAGGUAAAAAGGAGGCAUGCAUGAAAAAAAUACAAGUUUUAUAAGAAAUAAAUAGUGAUGAAACAGGGACCAAUACCUAUGACAUGUAUGGCAAGAAAUAGUGAUGAAAUAGGGGCACAAGUACCUGAGUCAACAGGAGACCAUAAAAAAUGUUGUUUUCCAGACCAAAAAAACCUAUUUUAUGAUUAAAAAAUCUUGUACCUUUUUAACUCUUCAUGUAUUUAAGAAAUAGCUACAAAUUCUCGGAUUACAAAACAUUUUUUGUAAAUUAAGAGUGUGUGGUACUUUUUUCCCGUUGCAACGCACGGGCCUUUUUGCUAGUGAAAAUAAAAGAGGCAAAUAAUAGAUCGGAAAGCAAAUAUGAUAAAGAAUAGACCCGGUGGCCGUAGAUUUCACUAGUGGCUUCUCUCCAGAAAAAUAGCAUACAGUGGGUAAACAAAUUACUGUUGGGCAAUUGAUAGAACUUCAAAUAAUUAUGACGAUAUCCGGGCAAUGAUCAUUAUAUAGGCAUCAUGUCCUAGAUUAGUAGACCUACUCCUUCCUGCAUCUACUACUAUUACUCCACACAUCGACUGCUAUCCAGCAUGCAUCUAGUGUAUUAAGUUCAUGGAAAAAUGGAGUAAUGCAAUAAGAAUGAUGACAUGAUGUAAACAAGAUCUAUUCAUGUAGGAAUAGACCCCAUCUUGUUAUCCUUAAUGCAACGAUCAAUAUGUGUCUUGCUGCCCCUUCUGUCACUGGGAAAGAACACCGCACGACCGAUCCCAUCACAAAGCACCUCUUCCAUGGCAAGAAAAAUCGAUCUAGUCAACCUAACUAAACAAAAGAUUUGAAGAAGAAUACGAGGCUAUAAGUAAUCAUGUGUCUAAGAGAUCAAAACUCAAAUAACUUUCAUGUAUAAAAUAGAUCUGAUCAUAAACUCAAAGUUCAUCGGAUCCCAACAAACACACCGCAAAAAGAGUUACAUCAAAUAGAUCUCCAAGAGACCAUUGUAUUGAGAAUCAAAAGAGAGAGAGGAAGCCAUCUAGCUACUGCCUACGGACCCAUAGUUCUACAAUGAACUACUCACGCAUCAUCGAAGAGGCACCAAUGAGGAUGAUGAACCCCUCUGUGAUGGUGUCUAGAUUGGAUCUCAUGGUUCCGGAACUUGCGGCAGCUCGAAUUGUGUUUCGUCGACUCCCCUAGGGUUUUUGGAUUUUCGGGGUAUUUAUAGAGCAAAAAGGUUGUGCGGGAGGGCACCGAGGUGGGCACAACCCACCAGGGCACACCUGGGCCCCCAGGCGUGCCCAGGUGGGUUGUGUCCCCUGGGGGCACCCAUCUGGUACUUCUUUGGCCCAAGUUGUUCCGUCUGGUAUAGAAAAAUUCUCCAAAAAGUUUCAUUGCGUUUGGACUCCGUUUGGUAUUGAUUUUCUGCGAAGUAAAUAACAAGCAAAAAAUAACAACUGGCACUGGGCACUAUGUCAAUAGGUUAAUAAAAUGAUAUAAAGUUGCUAUAAAAUGAUUGUAAAAUAUCCAAGAAUGAUAAUAUAACAGCAUGGAACAAGCAAAAAUUAUAGCUAUGUUGGAGACGUAUCAAGAGGCAAUAAGAGGAAGGCGCAGCAAUCAGUUCGACAGUAGUAAAAAAUUACACGAUUCGUUUCGUUGAAAAGGGAAAAAGGAAGCAUUGGUGACGUGGCAGAUUUUCUUACGUGGAUGGCUGCAUGUUGAUUGCUGAUGUGGAUAGGCUACAUGUCAAGAGAAAUAUGGUACUGGGAUGAACUAUUUAGGUAUUAUAGAUGCGCAACAUCACAUCUAAACUCUUUAUGAAAUUACAAAACACGAUGGUUUUUAAAAUGGAUAUAUUUUGGAACCCAAUUUUUUUAAAUUUAUGAAUAAAUUUUUGAAAACUUGAACAAUUUCUUGAGUCUAUGAACAAUUUUUUGAACACGAACUUUUUUUCAAAAUUUCAAAACGCAAUUACUUUUUUAAUGCAACCUUUUUCAAAAUUCAAAAACAUGAUUGUUUGUAAAGUGAAUAUGUUUUUAAAAUUCUAGACUAAAUUUGCAAGUUGAAUAUGUUUUGAGAAACACUCGAAAUUGUGGACGUUUUCUAAAACGUCAAAGAACUUUGAAAAACAUCAAACAUUUUUCAAAGCACGGAUUCUGGGGAAAAAACAAAUUCCGAACAUCUUUUAGAAAUUUUGAAUUUAUGAAAAAAGAAAAAGAAACAGAAAAUGAAAAAGAAAGAAAGCAAGGAAAAGCAGUGAAGAAAUAAAACAGAAAAAGGGAAAAAACCUGAAAAUAGUGGUAAAGACUGAUCCUAGCUACUUGGGCUAGUCCAUCUAUGGUUUACUCGCUGCUCAUUUCGGAGAUUUCUUUUAGGGGUAAAACCAAGUUUUAUACAUCAAACACCAUAGAGUGUGGGAUAGAGUUUGGGUCAUGGCAUUUUCCAAAGCAAACAUUGCGUCCCAGACCUAACGAAAGAGAAAACCUGCCUAGAUUAUGUGCUUCGACAUUUACAGGAUGAUCUUUAGAUAAAAAAAUACAAUGAAAUAAAUACGGUUGCAACUUGAUCUCGUUGAUAAUGGCUCGUUUCCACAUAGUUUGCUCACAUUUUUGAGAGAAAAUUUAGCCUUGAUGGGCUGGGAAAUUGGGCCAGCCAUCCUCGAGUGUGACUGGCUUGACUUUGUCUAGUAUAAAGCCCAUCACGUUGCCCAAGAGCCCACCCUUAUCUAUUUUUCUACAGGACCCACAUAUGUUUGGUUCCUUCAGCACGAUGGGCCACCUCCCAGCCUCCCUCGCCCGCUCGACAGCUCCCCCACCAAUAGAGUUAGGCCCUCGACCCUCCCCCACCCCAAGGUUGCGCGCAUGUCCCUUCCCGACAUCUCUUCCACACGGCCUCGUCCCACCCCAUGUUCUCCCCCAAGUGCUUUGUCGAGUGUCAUGGAAAAAUAUUCUUGGCAAGAUAGUGGAACUCACGCAAAAUGUGCUUUAUCAAGUGCUACACUCGGCAAAAGGGGGUAUGCAGGGAAGCAAAAUCGUGCUUUUUUCCUUCUCGGGAAGCUGCGCUUCCCGUGGAAGGCUUCAUCAAAAACCAGAAAAAAAGAUUUUUUUUUUCAUCAAAACCUAGGGAAAAUAAAAGAAAAAAAACACGUGUAAAAAAUAAAAUCUUAAGGGUGUACCUGCACACGACAUGUGGCCGCAGUUGGGCACAUCACUUGAUGCGCUCUCAGGGCCUCAAAGUAACCUCUGCAGGAACCCUCGACAAGAAACCCAUCAGACAGUUGGAGUCCCCCUUGCGUCAAAUAGGAGUGUGGCCACAAGGGGAGCGCGUCCUGGUCGGCCGGCCCAGUAGCCUGUAGCACUCUACCGCAAAUUUGUCAAAAUCUAAAACAUGACGUUUGAGCAAAGCUCGCAUGGCUAGCCAGUCAAGCUGAUGAAACUUUGCCAACUACUAUGUCGCGUUGAUCAGUAAAAAUUAUGUGCAACAUCACAUAUGAAAAAAAAUUGGAAUUUCAAAACACGAUUGUUUUUAAAAUGAACUAGUAAAGUGGCCCGCUCGAUGUGCGGGCUAGAUUUUUAAGUUUUUUUUAAUAAUAUCAUAUUGUUUGAUUUGGCUAAAGAAAAAUUGGAACCCAAUAUGACGACUUUAUUGUGCGGGCUCAAUCUUUGAAUUGUCUAUUAUGUUUUAUGAUUGAAUUUCUUAUCUGUAGUAAGUCAAUACAUAAUUAUGACGACUUUAUUGUGCGGGCUCAAUCAAUAUUAUUAUUUACUGUUAUUCUUCUUAUUUUUAUUGUUAAAAAAACAAUGUUAAAGUCAACCCAUUUGAAAAAAACUAAUUUAAUGUAAGUAUAGUAUCUAAAGUCCUAGUAUAGUAAUUUCAUUUUAAUUUAAUUUUAUUGUAUUCUUCCAUUUUGAAAAUGUAUUUUUAUUAUGAAUCUAGCACUUUAGUUAAAAUACAAAUAAAACUACUACAUUACUGAUCCCAAAAUUAAACAAAAAUGUGUACAUAAACUUGUCUUUAUCAUCGAUGAAUUACAACCAGAUCAUAUGUUUAAAUAAUGGAUAUUUAUAUUAUUAAUCAACCAAGCAUAGUUCUUUUGAUCUCGUAGAUUGUGAUUUCCCAAUAGUGUCUUGUCUUUUUGUUUAUGUGCAAAUAAUAGUUCACCUAUCAUAUUUUACGAGAAUGGGAAACAAAUAUAAGAAAUAGAACUGAAAGAAUUAUAUGGACGUCUAUUCUUGGAAAAUUGUUUAUGGUGUCACCAUCUCGUUCACGUGUGAGUAUGCAAUCUAAUUUCUAACAUGGCAUUCUUUCAUCCGUGAAGAAAUUUCAAGUUAUCACAACGCGACAUGAGUUCGAUAGAAUAUUAACUCAUUCGAAAAAAAAGAUAUGUACAUACAAAACUAAUGAAGUAACUUCAGUAAAAAUUAAUAUGUUACCCAAGAUUUUGAGGGACUGUGAUUUUGAAGGGGUAUUACAUUUUUGUAAUGUUAACUUGACACAUUGGUGAGAAACACAAUUCGAAUAGAAUACACUAAAGCUGAGAAAACAGAACUUUGUUGAACAAUAAUUAACCGGCUAAGAACUUACAAUGUAUCAUGCCUUUGCUGUUAACAACUAUAUGCAGCAGUAUUUUUUUUAUAUUUAUAAUUAUCACUCAAACUAACUUUUUAGAAAGCAUACUAAUUAGUUAGAUAUUCAGGGAUGCAUUGAUAACAGUAAUCGCUAUCGUCUAGCCUUGCCUCCUGUCUGAUGCACUACAAGCAAAGGAUUCAAAACUACGUUUUCCUGUAAUGUAAAACAAUAAUACUUCAUGGAGAUCAUGUUUGCAUGUGCAUAUGGAAUUCAUCAAUAGUAGGUAGAAAAGUCCUAGCUAGCUUAGCCUAGCUUAGGAUAACGCCCUGGCAUCUAAACUGCUUCAUAUAUGCAAUCCAAUUGUAUGGGUCAAAUAUACAAAACCUGAAGCUCAUGGUCUAGAUGUUUCAUUGAUAAUAUCAUUUCCACCAGACUGGCGACCGAUUAUACAGUAGUCUACCUGUAUUGUUUAACACUGAGAUACCGCAUCAGCCAAAUCAUAGCACCUGAGGUGCCUCUUCUUGUGGACGGUGAGAGCAUAUCUGUAAUAAUCAUCCUUUGUAUAACAUUAUUUAUACCUCCAAAUGUUGCACCACACAUGUUCAUCUUUAGAGUCAAGCCCUAUUGCAGCGCAGGUUGUGCUUGGCCAGCACCUUCGUGAUGAACUUGCCAGUGACCACAGUGCAAGCAACUACCAGUACCCAGGAAGCCUCGACGAAGCCAAUGACGUACUGCUCUAUUUCGCGCCGGUGCCAUGUGGCCCACUUGUUUCCCUGAGCAUGUCGGUAUCGACAAAGGAACGAUAGUCGCUAGAUUAAAGGGAAGUGAGAUGGAAAGACACACUCGAGGAGGAAGAUGUUUAGGACUAUGUAUUUGCAUACUCUUUUGGAUCAAGGACGUGGGAUGUAAGUACGGUGUUUGCCUUUUUUUCUUUCUCUUUUUAGCUUUGAAGGGAUGUGUACAUGUUUUUUUUAUGUCUACAUGCUUGAUUUUUUUCCUCUAGAGGGAUAUGUACUUGUUUGUAUUUUUAAAAGGUUGGGGGAUCAUUCAUUUUGUACGCACUUGUUUUUUUUUCAAAUGUAUGUACGUGCCUGAUGGAUAUGUGUGGGGACGUUCUUUUUUAUAUAUGUGGGAUAUGUACGUGCUUGUAUUUUUAAAAGGCUGGGGAUCAUUCAUUUUGUACGCACUUGUUUUUUUUUCAAAUGUAUAUACGUGCCUGAUGGAUAUGUGUGGGGACGUUCUUUUUUUUCCAUGAUGGAUGAACGAUGUGGGAUGUGUAUUUUUUUAUAUCUGGGGGUACACUCUUUUUUAGUGUCCACCGGGUUAUGAAGAUCUAAGGCCUAUGAUUAUAAAAAGAAGAAAAGAAAAAAAUCACCGAUGAACUAUCGGGUUUCUGGUGGGGAGAUGGACAGGAAAAGAGGAAAAUGCAUUGGUUUGCGUGGUGGAAAAUGUGUGUCACAAAGAAGAAAGGUGGAUUGGGCUUUAGAGACCUUCACAACUUUAAUCUUGCUAUGUUAGCAAAGCAGUGUUGGCGACUUCUUCAAAAUCCGGACUCUUUGUGUGCACGAGUUUUGAGUGCAAAAUACUACCCUAACGGGGACAUCCUAAAAGCGGGACCGAAGAAAGGGUCUUCAUUUACAUGGCAAAGCAUUUUAGCUGGGGUUCAGACUUUCAAAAGGGGCUGCAUAUGGCGAAUUGGUUCUGGCUCACACAUCAAUAUUUGGGAAGAUCCAUGGAUUCCAUCUAGUGAGUCGAGAAAAGUUAUUACCCCUAGAGGAGGAAUUAUGUUAACAAAGGUGGCAGAGAUUAUUGAUCCCCAUACUGGACAGUGGGAUGAGGCAUUGUUGCGUAGUGUGUUUUCACCGGUUGAUCUAGAUAGAAUAUUACAGAUUCCCCUACAUGUUGAGGCAGUUGAAGAUUUUUUAGCCUGGCACUUUACGAGGUCCGGAACCUUCUCUGUCCGCUCGGCAUAUCAGGUGGAGUUUGAUCAUCAGUUUGGACGUCAUUACUCAAACUCGAAUAACCCAGGUACUGCUAACCUUAAUAUGGUUUGGAAAGAUCUGUGGCAACUGCGGCUCCCGGGGAAAAUAAAACAUUUUGGUUGGAAAGUCCUAAAGGGGGUCUUGCCGUGCCUCGGUGUUCUGGCAGGUAGGCAUAUACCCUUGGUUCCGCAAUGUCCGCUUUGCAAGAUCGGAUUAGAGGACGUACAACACUGCCUUUUUACAUGCGCACGGGCAUCUGAUGUUUGGUCUGAGUUAGGAUUGCAGAAUGAUAUUAUAAAAGCCAUGCGGCAAGAUCGAUCUGGUUCUAUAACUUUGGAAAUUCUGGUCCGCAUGCGUACCAUGAUUCAUGAGCUGCCAAUGGCUGAACUCAUCUUGGUUGCGAUGUGGUUUAUCUGGUGGCAGAGGCGCCAAGUAACUAAUGGGGAAUCAGUCCAGACACGGGAACAAACAUCAAUAUCUAUCCGAGUUUUAGCCACCAACUUCGUACGAGCCUACACACCAAAUCAGCCGGUACGUACGAUCAGUCAUCAGUGGAAGAAGCCAUUGGAGGGAGCGGUAAAAGUUAAUGUCAAUGCGUCAUUCCAUGCGGACAAUUUUUCAGGAGCCUGCGGCGCUAUUGCUCGUGAUGAUCGAGGCAAUUUCUUGGCUGCAACUACUUGUGCAAUACCGCAUGUGUCUAGUGCAACCUCUGCGGAAUUGUUAGCUAUCAGGUGUGGUCUGAUCCUUGCAGUGAAUCUUGGAUGCACUAAGCUUAUUUUGGAGUCUGACUGUACGAUUGCUUUGGAGGCUAUAUCUGACCCAAACGCAUACAUGGGAACUGAUGUUCCAAUAGUAGUAGAAUGCUCUCUUAUGGCAGUGAAAUUUAAAAGCAUCAGUUUUACUCAUUGUAGCAGAGAAGCGAAUAUGGUAGCGGAUGGCUUAGCAAAGCAUAGCUUUAGUCAUAGCAAGUCUGAAACUUGGGACGUUGUCCCGGACUUUAUUCUGCAUUCUUAUGUAAAUGAUCUUGCUCUUAUUUGAUGAAUAAAGUUUUAAUGCUCAAAAAAAAAGAUCUAAGGCCUAUGAUUUAUUAGUACAGAGAAGUUCUAUUAAAUCAACCAUCGGAUACUUCUGAUUUUUAUAGAAUUUUUGAUCAUAUUUCUCUUUGUUGGUUAACCUGCUAUUUACUUUUAAUAUAUAGUAGAUACUAUAUAUGCAGUACGUGACCAUGUAUGAGUUUGUGAGGGAUUCUCUAUAUACACAUAUGUGCGUUUGUUUUUUCCUUAUGGAAUAGAUGUGCAUGCACAUGCUUUCCAAUUAACAUGGUAGGCUUGCCAAAAAAAAUUUAACGUGAUUCCUCACGCAACAUCUUUUUUUAUAGAAGAGCUCUGACAACCGAAUAAUCCAGGCUUUUUUUCUAGAUUGGAAAAUAUCUACGUGGGACAUGUGCCACGUAAAUCCUUAGAGGCCCAUCAUAUUAUAUAUGUUACGUAAAUUGAACGGUCACGUAAUCUUAAUUUUAAGAGAUUUACCGGAUCGAGGGUUGAUAUUUUCUAAUUAAUGUGGAAUUUUCUAACCUAUUUCUCUCCCUUCUGGUUCACCGUAUAUUACUUUUAGUAUAUAAACAAGAUGAUUUUUGGAACAUGGACUUUUUCCAAAUUUAUGAAUAAAAUUUGAAAACUAGAGCAAUUUUUGACUAUAUCAAGGUUUUUUUAAACACAAACUUUUUUUGAAAUUUUAAAACACGAUUAUUAUUUUAAUGCAACCUUUCUUAGAUUUCAAAACACGUUUUUAAUGAAUAUUUUCUUAAACCCAACCAAAAGUUGAAAACUUGAACAUUUUCAAAAACACUCGGAAGUGUGGACAUUUUCUAAAAAACGUGAAAGGAUUUAGGAAAACUUCAAACUUUUUCAAAGCACGAAUAAUUUUUGGGAAAAAUGAAACAAAAUAAAAUUCCGAACAGUUUUUGAACAUUUUUUUAGAAAUGUUGAAUUUAUGAAAAAAAGGAUAAAUUAUGAAAGAAAGGAAAAUCGGUGAAGAAGAAAACAACAGAAGGAAAAAAACUAAAAAAUAGUGUAAGAAAAAAAAACUAAUCCUAGCUACUUGGGAUGGUACAUAUGCGGUUUGCUCACUGCACAUUUCCUAAAAUUUUUUAGGGGUAAAAGCAAGUUUUAAUCAUCAAACACCAUAGAGUGUGGGAUAGAUUUGGGGUCGUGGCAUUGGUUAAACCCAAUGCGGCGUCCCAAACCUAACGAAAGAGAAAGACUGGCUAGACUAUGUGCUUCGACAUUGAUAGCAUGACCUUUACAAGAAAAAUUACUAUCAAAUAAAGAUGGUUGCAACUUAAUCUGGUUGAUAAUGGCUCGUUUCCCACAUAGUUUGCUCACAGUUUUUGAGAGAAAAUUUAGCCUUGAUGGGCUGGGAAAUCGGGCCAACCAAUCUCAAGUGCGACCGAUUCAUCUUUGUCCACUAGAAAGCCUGCCACGUUGCCCAAGAGCCAACCCUUAUCUUUUUUUUACAGGACCCGUAUAUGUUUUAUUGCUCCAGCAAGACCGGUCGCCGCCAAGCCUCUCUCGCCCGCUCAACAGCUCCCCCCGCCGCCGGGGCUAAGCCCUGGAUCCCCCCACCCCCAGGUUGCGAGCUUGUCCCAUCCCUCCCUCUCUUCUGCGUACCCUCGCCCCACCUCGUCUUCUCCCCCACCGGUGCUUUGCCUAGUUUCUUGGAAAAAACUCUCGAUAAAAUAUUGGAACUCUGGCAAAAUGUGCUUUCCUGAUUGCUACACUCGGCAAAAGGGGGUAUGCAUUGCACUGUUUUGGUUGUCCAUAUUGCAUACGACCUCGGAUGAAGAUGAUCCCAAAAUCAAAGUUUAUCAUUUUGACAAGAUGAUUAAUUUUCAUGUUCAGAACUUUUCCAUUUUAAGCCAUGUUAUUUACACUUUUGACAAUGCCAAAAUAUGGUCUCAAAUGAAUAUGGCGGUGGUCAUAUUUAUUGCAUAGUUUCUGACAAUGGGCCUAAAGUUGGCAUUUUGUUGCAUCUCGCCAUUACAAACAAUGAUGCCAAAUAGAGUUUCCAACAUUUUGUACAAAACUAAUUUUCCCAUUUUCUAAGUGUAAAAAAAUGGAUAUUUUGUGAAGCGGGUAAAAAAACAUAGUGCAAAAUGGCACCACCCCAAUUUACAUAAAAAGUAGACCACAUGUUUUAGAAAAUUCCCAGGUUUUGUGGAUCUUCUUAAUUUCUAGCUACUUUCGCACAGUUAAAUUCAAAUUUGAACUUUAAGUCUGUGAUAGCUUUGUCCUAAAAAUUAGCAAAAAUGUAAUCUAUUUUUUUAGGUGUGCAAGUAGUCAUUUUAUGAAAUCACCACUUAAGUUUGAGAGAUUCAGGCCCUUGCCAUGACUAUCCAUGCCGGGCAUUUUGACCCCGUUUUGGAAAAAUGAAACAAAAAGGAUACAAGUUCAAAAAAAUGCAAUCCAUUCGUAUGGACUCCUUUUAUGUGUACUAGCUAGGACGAAAAUACCAAACUUCAAUAUGAAAACUUUGAAAGAAAAAUAUCCAUCACAAAACGGGCUAUCAUGUAUGAACCUUCACGGCUUUCAAGUCAAACGACCAAGGUGACGACAAUAUCCAUUCCAUAGUUUAUUAUAUUAUGCCGAAAUUAGACAUAUAGGUGAAUCAUGCCAUUGCAAAUAAUGUUGUAAAAUAGAGUUUCCAACUUUUUGUACAAAAAAUCAUUUACUAUUUUCUAAGUAUCAAAAAUGGGUGUUUCUUGUGAAGUGGGUUCAAAAAAUAGAGUGGAAAAUGGCACCACUCCAAUUUUCACAAAAAGUAGACCAUAUUAGAUGGACAAUUCCCAAGUUUUGUAGAUGUCUAGCUAAAAACUAACAAUUGGUGUAUUUUUUUAAUAUUUAAUGAAAAUAAAAAAAUGGGAAGGGCGGAUACUUAAUGGAUAACAUGGACAUCUGAGGGUGUACCUUUAAGUGUUGGAGAUGCCUUUAUGUGCUGGUUUAUGUCGUGCUCAACCUGCAAUGUACUAGAGUUAAUCAUGUUGGGUAACGGUGCAUGGAAAAACAAAAAAAUAUCUACGCACACGUAAUGAUCUAUCCAUGGAGAUGCAUAGCAACGAGGGGGAGAGUGUGUCUACGUACCCCCAUAGACCAAAAGCGGAAGCGUUUGACAAUGCGGUUGAUGUAGUCAAACUUCUUCUAGCUCCGACCGAUCAAGCACCGAACGUACGGCACCUCCGAGUUCUGCACAUGUUUAGCUCGGUGAUGUCUCUCGUCUUCUUGAUGAGUUCCGUCAGCACGACAGCGUGGUGACGAUGAUGGUGAAGUGAUCCAUGUAGGGCUUCGCUUAAGCACCGCGAGAAUAUGACCGGGGGUGUAAACUGUGGAGGGGGGCGCCGCACACGGCUAACAAUUGAUGUUGUGUGUUCUAGGCGCCCCCUUCCCCACAUAUAUAUAGGUGGGAGGGGAGGGGAGGCAGCAAGGGGGCACCCCAAGUAGGAUCUGAAUCCUACUUGGGGUUUCCCCAAGUGACGCCCCCCCCCUUCCUUUUUUCCACCGGAGAAGAAAGGAAGGGGGAAGAAGAGAAGCAAGGGGGGCUGAACCCCCUCUUCUCCUUCUCCUAUUUGGCCACUUGCCAUAGGGGAGGCGCGCCACCCCUUGUGNNNNNNNNNNNNNNNNNNNNNNNNNNNNNNNNNNNNNNNNNNNNNNNNNNNNNNNNNNNNNNNNNNNNNNNNNNNNNNNNNNNNNNNNNNNNNNNNNNNNNNNNNNNNNNNNNNNNNNNNNNNNNNNNNNNNNNNNNNNNNNNNNNNNNNNNNNNNNNNNNNNNNNNNNNNNNNNNNNNNNNNNNNNNNNNNNNNNNNNNNNNNNNNNNNNNNNNNNNNNNNNNNNNNNNNNNNNNNNNNNNNNNNNNNNNNNNNNNNNNNNNNNNNNNNNNNNNNNNNNNNNNNNNNNNNNNNNNNNNNAUUCGAGAACACUUCCGGUGUCCGAAUACUAUCAUCCUAUAUAUCAAUCUUUACCUCUCGACCAUUUCGAGAUUCCUCGGCAUGUCCAUGAUCUUAUCCGGGACUCGAAACAACAUUCGGUCACCAUAUCACAUAACUCAUAUAAUACAAUAUCAUUAUCGAACGUUAAGCGUGCGGACCCUACGGGUUCGAGAACUAUGUAGACAUGACCGAGACACCUCUCCGGUCAAUAACCAAUAGCGGAACCUGGAUGCUCAUAUUGGAUCCUACAUAUUCUACGAAUAUCUUUAUCGGUCGAACCGUUAUGACAACAUACAUUAUUCCCUUUGUCUAUCGGUAUGUUACUUACCCGAGAUUCGAUCAUCGGUAUCUGCAUACCUAGUUCAAUAUCAUUAUUUGUAAGUCUCUUUACUCGUUUGUAAUACAUCACCUUACUAACGGAUGGGUCUUGUCCAUCACAUCAUUCUUCUAAUGAUGUGAUCCCGUUAUCAAAUGACACCUCAUGUCCAUGGUUAGGAAACCUUAACUAUCUUUGAUCAACGAGCUAGUCAAGUAGAGGCUCACUAGGGACAUAGUGUUUGUCUAUGUAUUCACACACGUAUUAAGGUUUCCGAUCAAUACAAUUCUAGCAUGAAUAAUAAACAUUUAUCAUGAAUAAGGAAAUAUAAAAUAAGAACUUUAUUAUAUCCUCUAGGGCAUAUUUCCUUCAAAUCAGUAUAUGUGUGCAUGCUUGGUUGUUAGUGAAAUGUUUUAUGUAUAUGUGUACAUGCUUGGUUGGGCCAACUUUGUGUAUUACAUUUUGUGAAAUACAAACUUGAUAUACGCCACAUUUGUGUUAACGACCAAUAAGUAUAUACAUAACUAUAUUUUGCCUUCUUUUUCCUCCUCCACAAGAAAAGGUCCCGCGCUUUUCUCCUCCUCCAAUUGGCGCCAUAGCUGGUCCGCCCCAUCUUUGAUGGCCUUUGGGCCCUUUAGUACCGUACCGAACCAGCAGCCUUCGCGCCAAGCGACGACCGCCCUUGUCCCUUUCCUUUUUCCAUUCAGCCUACUUCUUAGCUUUGUUCCGUUAGUCUAAGGCAAAGCUUAAGUGGUUUACCUACCUUACCCACUUGAUGAAAGGGAACGGACUUCAUUUCCUUGGCGGCUUUAUGGAUGGAUUCAGUAAGAAAAAUUCCUUCCUUUUGAAAAAAGUGACACCACGAAGGUGAGUAGGACCUCAGGCCCUCGCUGGCGGGAGGGAACCCGUUCUCAUUCUUUUUUGGUUCAAUGUCUUGCUGGAGCUGUGUUGCGGCUAUGAUGUCUCUCAGUAGGAAUAAUGUUUCACAUGUUCUAUCCCUGUCUCGAUGGUGCCUCUAGCAUUAUCAUAGGGCAUGUGGAGGUGUGUCUCUAUCGGAUUUCGCAGGAUUCGGUCGGCAUUGGUCUUCGGUGGAUCUGUUUGGACACGGUCUAUGUUCAUCUUUGUGGUGUUUAUACUAUUGAUCCUUCCGAUCUAUGACUUUCUUCAUCGACGAUGGUUGCUGCUUCGGUGCGCUGGUCCUAUGGGUCCUUAGCACGACAACUUCCUGACUAUUGACUACAACAAGGUUUGCCCGGCUCCAGCGAUCGGGGGGGGGGGGUGAUGGCGAUGCACAGCUUUCUUUAGUGCUUGUAGUCAUCGCUAGGUGGUCCAUGGACCUGGUUGUAAUUUUUUGUAUCUCUGGUGUUCUUUGUACUGCCAUGAUUGAAGAUGAAUAGAUUGGAAGUUUCUCACGCAAAAAUAACUAUAUAAAUAACUAUUUUAGCAAAAUUCGCAAAAAAACUAUUUUAGCAAGUAAUAAAUUUUGACACCAAUUAUAUGGUAGUAAUUAAUAUUUCCCCUAAUAAUAUCCGCAUUGGGUCCAGGUUUUAUACUAUGUAUACAGACGGGAGUAUGUUUGGAUAAUUGUGUGAACACAAGGAUAUAUCUUAGCAAAACUAUUUUUAGCAACAAGUAAAUGAAUUAAUAUAUGCUAGCUAUACUCUGCUGGUGAAAACAUGGUUUAUUAGUUGUACAAAGCAUGCAACACGGUUUCACUCCCCUUUAUAUUCAUGGGCGGAACACAAUUUCAGAUCCAAGUUUUAUGUUUGUCUACACACUCCCAUCUUCUUCCCAUAUCAGCAGGAAAAUUCACUCCAAUCAUCUCGCCAUUCUACACUUGGGAAAUCAGGUUUGCUUCAAUCUACCAUCCUUGAAUAUAUGCCCCACAUCUUGUUUCUGCGUCCUAAUCUUAUUAAGCUUGUAAUUAGUAGUUAGUGCAAGAUCAAAAAGGAGCUAUGGGCAAAACACCAUCCGCACCUGCUGAUUUAAUCACCAUAGGACAAGCGGCGCCUAAUCAUGAAAUAGCAGGAGAUUCAAGUGACAGUGAGAGAACAAUCAGUGAGGGUUAUGUGGGGAUCAUGUAUGGUGGUAGCCAAACCCACGAUAGCAACCUGGAAGGAGAAUCUGACAUGGUAUUGCUAGCAACAGAUUCAAGUGACAGCGAGAGAACAAUCAGUGAGGGUUAUGUCGGGAUCCUGUAUGGUGGUAGCCAAAUCCAGGAUGGAGACCUGGAGGGAGAAUCGGCUAUGGUAUUGCCUGCUGUAGGAGAGAAUACCACGGCGAGAUCUAACAGUCAUGGUCAUACGCGUAGCUUGGAAAUUGAUUCUACCUCUUGUACUGGGAGGCAUGCUGCCAGGUCAGAUUUUGUUCUAGUGGCACAACGCCGAGACUGCAUACAAAUUUACCCUGAGUGGCUGGAGAAAAUUGAUUCAGGCAAAAAGAUGUGGAUAGCUCUCAAAAAAUUUCGAGCAAAUGGGAAGCAUGAAGAGGUUAGUAUAUACACAUGUUCUGGUGUGCUCUCUCAUCAAAUAAUUUUCAUUGUGGGUUAAUCAUCUCAUAACAUAAGGAGUGUUUGCUUGAUGGGCAUUCAGACCAAAUGAUGAACGAAUUAGAUCCUAGGUUCUCCAAAAGAUGACAUUGUGUUUUGCUUCCGUUACCUCAUAGAUUUUCAGCCUUUGCGUCAAAAUGAUUUUAUGCAUUUGUUUUCGCACUAACUUGUAUUUUUUUAAGCACAACCAUCCAUAUAUGUAAAAAAAACUCAUGGCCACUUGUGCGAUUGAUAGAAAUCAGUUAACAUCUCAAUUUCCUCAUGUGCUAUUGUAUGACUAUGGAGGUUUUUCUAACAUGAUCCUUCUUACCUCCCCUUUUCACAUGAGACGUAAGAGUAUAAAGUAAAUCUGAGUCAUUGACUGCAUUAAGUAGUGGGCUUGACUAAAUCUUACCUUCUUAACUCCCAUGUGAAAAGAUGGGGUAAGAGGAAGCAUGUUAAAAUGGCUCAUGAACGGUGCUGCCGCCAGUGGCAGAGCUUGAGCAUAAUCCAAGAGGGCCAUUACUUGAAGGGGGGGAAAUUAGAAGGGAAGGAGGGGAAAAUAUCUAGUUUAAACACUAGUUAGGCUUAAAAUAUAGUAUAUUCAUUGAUGGGUGCAAAAAUUAAGGGGGGCCAUGGCCCCUGUUGGUCUACAUGAAGCUCCGCCACUUGCUGCCGCACAUUCUACAGUAUUGUUAUAGACACUGACUGACUCUUAUUUUUGCACUAUAUCCAAAUGUACUAGCAGUCAUAAGACACCAAUCUGUCAGGAUCUCGGCUUUUGGCCUUCUGCUAGGAUGCACUAAAGAUAUUGAUAAGUCUCGCCAUUCCUGGAUGUUGUGAAGGUUACCUGACUGGAACAGAUUGUUCUGGAGAAGGAUAUGGAGGCGCGGCAAACCUAAAGCAACGAUGAUGCAACAAAUGGAAUGUGAUCGAGAAUGGUAUUAUCUACAUGUGCACACCAGAGAGCAUACAAAUUAGGGUCUGCAUGGACGACCAAAACACAUGGCAUUUUUUAUCAACUAGACCAUCCUUUUUUCUUUGAUCUACUAACAUUGGUUGCCAUUUCGGGCUUUUGGGCCGACCUUCGGGCGAGAAAUUGAAGCCCAAGCCUACCCCAGAUGUCGGGCUUUGGGCUCAGGCCUCUGGGCCGGGUAGUCCAUGAACAGGUUUAGUUUGAUCUAUUCACUCACAUUUUGAUCCUCAUUCAUUAUAGCAUUUAACCAUAAUUCAUAUGAACAUGCACCACGAGAAUAUAAUAAAGGAAAUGCAUGGGCUAAUUUGUAGUACACAACGCCUUAUUGUGCGGUAUCACAAGAACAUUUUUCUCCUUGAUUACAAUAGUAACUACUAUGCAAUCUUAUAUAUCAAAUCAUAUAUUAUAUGACAAAUUAAGUAUAUUGUUUUGCUUAUUUCAGUAUUACCUUCAUAAGGAAUAUAGUCACAAGUUUUGCUCCAAACGCAACGUUAUUGAGUUCAUACGAAAUGGAACUGUGAAAGGGAAGUCGGUUCAGAAGGUGCCUAAAUACUUGACUUUCAAACAUAUAGUAAUUAUGCGAAGAUGUAUAUGUUUUUUGUAUUAACUUUAAAGUAUUAAUUUGACACGGUAUCCUAUUUUUGCACAGAGAUCAUCUGAUACUUCUAUGAACAAUCUUCAGGGUAUGUCCAGUUGGCCCCAUGCAUUUGGAUAUUAUUUUGUAUACUAUUAUUACUAUACAGAGAUAUCUAACUGAAACUGAAAUAUAAUAAAUAUUCAUGGAGAGAAAAAUAGACAUUAAUGUCCACAUACACAACAAAAUUAACCAGUACUGUCCUAGUUUACAUGAAUUAAUAUUUUCAAUGACAAUUAGGUUACUCAUGACAUGAUAAAGAAAAAAAAUGUGAGGUAAGAUAAGGUUUUCUAUAAUUUUUCAUGGGGACCUCCUCAUGGUUGCAGAUACAUAGUUUUACAGUGCUUCAUGAAAUAGUUGCAUAUCAUCAUGUCUAAAAGAAUCAUGACGGACACAACUUCAAGAAAUUCUUCUUGUAAAAUAACAUGAUUUGUAUAUACCUCAUAAAGGAUGUAACUUGUUGGUAGCAUUUAAUAUUGUGACACACUCGCCAUCUUUUGUGCCAGCAUUAUUUGGGUGAUGAUUUAAUAUCCAAAAGCAUACAUCAAGGUAGUUAUGUGCAAUGAUAUUCUUGUGAAAAUAACUUCCAUAGUGUAUACUUGCAUAUAUGUAUUGCUCUAUUGUAUUCUCACAGUUAAUCCUUUUUCUUAAUUUUUUGUUUGUUUAUUUAUGUUUAGAGCAAGAUUAUAAAUUAAGCUGAGCAUAAUUUCUGCAGAUUAUAGAUGGCCCACUGAAAGACAAAGGGCGAAGGCGCAAACUUCAAAUAAUUCUUCUUGCCACAUAGGUUUUUCUAAUUGUGCGAGCAUACCACUUGUAACUGCCUUCAGUCAUCUAUGUCAGUAGUAUUUUGAGAAGAAUUUCAUUACAAAAUGCAAUGACUCAAACAAUCAGAUUGUUCAUGAUGAUUCCUAAUUGUAUAACCAAUAAGCUUAACGCACCUUCCUAUUUUAGAGUUGUUAUGUUAAUAAGUAUAUACUAUCUGUUAUUAAUGUUGUUAAUGGGUGAAGAACAUUUGUUGCUCAUGGUUAGAAUGUAGAAUUUUCUUAAUACAACAACCUAGAGCGAAUGUGGAGGCCAAUAUAGAUUGAAACCAUUAAUUCAUAUUAAAAUGGUCAUGACUUCUUAUUUUUAUUUGACAUAAAUGUUUGUGACUUGUUUGAAUUAAUGUGUUCUGCAAUUAUAUGAUACUUGCGUAUUCAUACUAUUUUUAUGAAUUGUGCAGCUAGUUUGUCGACAGGAGCACGAACAACCACAACUUCUACAAAGCUUCCACAUGGUUUCAUCUAGUAUCAUGCAAAAGACAUUGAGACAAUCAAGAUUACUUGAGCAACCUGAAUUAUGUUAGUUGUUACCUGCUUUCAAACGAAUGUGUCCUCUCAUAGUAUGCAUGUACUUCUGUUGUUGAGGAAUUUAUAUCAUUAGACAGUUCUGUUUUUCAUAAUUAUUGAUUAAUGGGUACAUACCUUCAAUCCUGGAAGAUUAUCAGAUAGCCAGUCAAGGAAGCAAUUUAUUUAUUGAAUUGUGCAUAAUAGGAACAUUUUUACAUUCAAAGGAACAUCAUAGGAAUAAUUUGGUAUUUCGAGAAGAUUUUCCAGUCCCCUGCCCCAACCUACUGGAGACAGUAUGAGUGGUGACAGACACAUUUGUAACAUACGAGCAAGCUAGUGCAGCAGCUUCAGUCACAUGCUCUGGAAGCCCAUUUUGGGUCUUCCUUCAGAAGGCUCAACAAGGCCAUCAUCACACCAUUCUAGUUAGUUACUUCUGCAACGAUAUAUGUCCUUAAGAAAAUAAGAAGCUAGGGUUCUAGUAGACUUAUAAUGCUCUAGCAGCACCACGUUGGAUAUGCUCGCACAAAUAAAAUAACAUGAAUCGAGUCUAUAUGUAAGCACAUAUCUUGUCACCAGUCAACUACUAGUACAGUAAGAGCAUCAAAGAGGAAUUCAUUUCAUAUAGAAUAGUCGCAAUCAUAUACUUCUGUUCUGCACAUACUGCUCAUUAUCAUGGACAAUGAUGUAGCUAGAUAAAAGGGAGCAUGUGGCAAUAAUGUAAGCAGGGAGGCUCCAGGGAAGAGCUCAACAGACAGAACUAACCUGCUCUUGCAAGGAACCAGUAAGCCUUGCUACAUUGUCACCUUCAUGCUGCAUGGCAUCGUGUCCACCAGCUAUUGUGGUAUGUCGCAAAUCUUUCCUCUCAUCUUUUCACCGAAAGCGAUCGUUGGCGAAUUCUAAUCUUUCUGGAACAACAUUCCUAAUUCCCUGCACUAGAAGGUCAUCAUGAUGCAUCGGUACAUCGGAAUUCCGGCCACAUUAACAAAAUCUUUGCCCAAACCAAAUUAAGGUAGAAAUGAGAAAUGAAGGAGAGCACCAAAUAGUAAGUUAGGUUACACACAUAUAUAUAGAAAUGCCGUUCAUAGUAAAAACAACAGGAAGUGUAUCCAUGUUGUUUGCUUAGGUGGCUGAAACCAAGGUCCUAUUCACUGGGAUGAUAAACCUACUAAAUAAAAGGGUUCUCAAAGUCCCCUCAGAACUAGAGUCGAGUAACACAGUCAUGAUCCCAUGGGGUUUCAGGAUAACGACAUGCAAAUGUGGUUAACACAAUCAGCUCUCUCAUUAAGAUUUGUCUUAUUUUUUAUCACUACAGGAAAAUUCAUGUUUGCCGAGUGUCAGUGUCUUUGCUGAGUGCAUUUUGUUGGGCACUCAGCAAACAUAUCUUUGCCGAGUGUAAUCCUGAAACACGGUAAACAGGUGCUUUGCCGACUGUCGUGGAAAAAACACUGGCAAAAAAGUUAUAGUUGCUAAAAUGUGCUUUGUUGAGUGUCUUGGAAAUAACUCUCAGCAAAAUAGUGGAACUCAGGCAAAGAUGUGCUUUCUCGAGUGCUACACUCGGCAAAAGGGGGUAUGCACUGCGCUCACUGUUUUGGCCGUCGAGAUUGCAUACAACCUCGGAUGAAGAUGAUCCAAAAAUCAAAGUUUUACAUUUCGACGUGAUGAAUAAUUUUCAUGUUGAGGACCUUUUCCUUUUAGACCAUAUUAUUUACACUUAUUGCCAUGCCAAAGUAUGGUCUCAAAUGAAUAAGGCGGUGGUCAUAUUUAUUGCAAUUUACGACUAUGGGCCUAACCUUGGCAUUUAUGUGCAUCUGGCCAUUACAAACAAUGUUGCCAAAUAGAGUUUCCAACAUUUCGUACAAAGAUAAUUUUUCUAUUUUUGAAGUGUAAAAAAUUGAUACUUUUGUGAAGCUGGUACAAAAAUCGAGUGCAAAAUGGCAUCACUCCAAUUUUCACAAAAAUAGACCAUAUUUUUUGGAAAAUUCCCAUUUUUUGUGGAUUUUCUAGAUUUCUAGCUACUUUCACACAUUUAAAUGACUUUAUUAUGAUUCCGCAAAAUUAAUUCAAUUUGAACUGUAAUUGUGUGAUAGCUCUAUCCUACAAAUUUGCAAAAAUAUACUUUUAGGUACACAAGUAGUCAUUACAUGGAAACCCCACUUAGAGUUUGAGAGAUUCAACCCCUUGACAUGAAUAGACAUGCCGGCCACUUUCACCCCGUUUUGGAAAAAAUGAAACAAGAAGGAUACAAGUUCAAAAAAUGCAAUCCUUUCAUAUGGACUCCUUUUAUGUGUACUAGUGUAGAUGAAAAUACCAAACUUUCAAUAUGACAGUUUUGAAAGAAAAAUAUCCUGCACAAAUGGGCUAUCCUCUAUGAACAUUCAUGGCUUUCAAGUCAAAUGACCAAGGUGAUGACCAUAUUCAUUGCAUAGUUUAUUAUAAUGUGCCCAAAUUAGACAUAUAGGUGAACCUUGCCAUUACAAAUAAUGUUGCAAAAUAGGGUUGAAGGAAAUAUGCCCUAGAGGCAAUAAUAAAGUUAUUAUUUAUUUCCUUAUUUCAUGAUAAAUGUUUAUUAUUCAUGCUAGAAUUGUAUUAACCGGCAACAUAAUACAUGUGUGAAUACAUAGACAAACAUAGUGUCACUAGUAUGCCUCUACUUGACUAGCUCGUGAAUCAAAUAUGGUUAAGUUUCCUAGCCAUGGACAAAAGAGUUGUCAUUUGAUUAACGGGAUCACAUCAUUAGGAGAAUGAUGUGAUUGACUUGACCCAUUCCGUUAGCUUAGCACUUGAUCGUUUAGUAUGUUGCUAUUGCUUUCUUCAUGACUUAUACAAAGUUCCUACAACUAUGAGAUUGUGCAACUCCCGCUUACCGGAGGAACACUUUGUGUGCUACCAAACGUCACAACGUAACUGGGUGAUUAUAAAGGUGCUCUACAGGUGUCUCCAAAGGUACAUGUUGAGUUGGCAUAAUUCGAGAUUAGGUUUUGUCACUCCGAUUGUCGGAGAGGUAUCUCUGGGCCCUCUCGGUAAUACACAUUACUUAAGCCUUGCAAGCAUUGCAACUAAUGAGUUAGUUGUGGGAUGAUGUAUUACGGAACGAGUAAAGAGACUUGCCGGCAACGAGAUUGAACUAGGUAAUCGAUACCGACGAUCGAAUCUCGGGCAAGUAACAUACCGAUGACAAAGGGAACAACGUAUGUUGUUAUGCGGUUUGACCGAUAAAGAUCUUCGUAGAAUAUGUAGGAACCAAUAUGAACAUCCAGGUUCCGCUAUUGGUUAUUGACCGAGAAUAGUUCUAUGUCAUGUCUACAUAGUUCUCGAACCCGUAGGGUCCGCACGCUUAACGUUACAAUGACAGUUUUAUUAUGAGUUUAUAAGUUUUGAUGUACCGAAGGUUGUUCGGAGUACCAGAGGAGUCUCGAAAUGGUCGAGACACAAAGAUUGAUAUAUUGUACGGAUAUAUUUGGACACCGGAAAGGUUCCGGAUGAGAUUGGGACUAUACCGGAGUUUCGGGAGGUUACCGGAACCCCCCGGUAAGUAUAUGGGCCUUAUUGGGCCUUAGUGGAAGGGAGGGAGAAGGAUCAAAGGAGGGGGUGCCCCCCCCCAAGCCCAAUCCGAAUUGGGAGGGGGGCCGGCCCCCCCUUUCCUUCUUCCCUCCCCUCUCUUCCUUCCCUCUCCUACUCCUAAUAGGAAAGGGGGGCCAAACCUACUUGGAGUAGGUUUGCCCCCCUAGGGCGCGCCUCCCCUCUUGGUCGGCCCCCUCCUCCUCUCCCCCUUUAUAUACGGAGGAGGGGGCACCCCAUAGACACACAAGUUGAUCUACGGAUCAUUCCUUAGCCGUGUGCGGUGCCCCCCUCCACCAUAUUCCACCUCAGUCAUAUCGUCGCAGAGUUUAGGCGAAGCCCUGCGCCGGUAGAACAUCAUCAUCGUCACUACACCGUCGUGCUGACGGAACUCAUCCCCGACGCUUUGCUGGAUUGGAGCCGGGGAACAUCAUCGAGCUGAACGUGUGCUGAACACGGAGGUACCGUACGUUCGGUGCUUGAAUCGGUCGAGUCGUGAAGACGUACGACUACAUCAACCGCGUUCUGAUAACGCUUCUGCUUACGGUCUACGAGGGUACGUGGACAAUACUCUCCUCUCUCGUUGCUAUGCCAUCACCAUGAUCUUGCAUGUGCGUAGGACAUUUUUUGAAAUUACUACGUUACUCAACAGUGGCAUCCGAGCCUAGGUUUUAUGCGUUAAUGUUAUAUGCACGAUUAGAACACAAGUGAGUUGUGGGCGAUACAAGUCAUACUGCUUACCAGCAUGUCAUACUUUGGUUCGGCGGUAUUGUUGGAUGAAGCGGCCCAGACCGACAUUACGCGUACACUUACGCGAGACUGGUUUUACCGCCGUGCUUUGCACACAGGUGACUAGCGGGUGUCAGUUUCUCCAACUUUAGUUGAACCGAGUGUGGCUGCGCCCGGUCCUUGUGAAGGUUAAAACAGCACCAACUUGACAAACUAUCGUUGUGGUUUUGAUGCGUAGGUAAGAACGAUUCUUGCUCAGCCCGUAGCAGCCACGUAAAACUUGCAACAACAAAGUAGAGGACGUCUAACUUGUUUUUGCAGGGCAUGUUGUGAUGUGAUAUGGCCAAGACGUGAUGCUAUAUUUUAUUGUAUGAAGUGAUCAUGUUUUGUAACCGAAGUUAUCGGCAACUGGCAGGAGCCAUAUGGUUGUCGCUUUAUUGUAUGAAAUGCAAACGCCCUGUAAUUGCUUUACUUUAUCACUAAGUGGUAGCGAUAGUCGUAGAAGCAAUAGAUGGCGUAAACGACAAUGAUGCUACGAUGGAGAUCAAGGUGUCGCGCCGGUGACGAUGGUGAUCACGAUGGUGCUUCGGAGAUGGAGAUCACAAGCACAAGAUAAUGAUGGCCAUAUCAUAUCACUUAUAUUGAUUGCAUGUGAUGUUUAUCCUUUAUGCAUCUUAUCUUGCUUUGAUUGACGGUAGCAUUUUAAGAUGAUCACUCACUAAAAAUUAUCAAGAAGUGUUCUCCCUGAGUAUGCACCGUUGCCAAAGUUCGUCGUGCCCAGACACCACGUGAUGAUCGGGUGUGAUAAGCUCUACGUCCAUCUACAAUGGGUGCAAGCCAGUUUUGCACACGCGGAAUACUCAGGUUAAACUUGACGAGCCUAGCAUAUGCAGAUUGGCCUCGGAACACGGAGACCGAAAGGUCGAGCGUGAAUCAUAUAGUAGAUAUGAUCAACAUAAUGAUGUUCACCAUUGAAAGCUACUCCAUUUCACGUGAUAAUCGGUUAUGGUUUAGUUGAUUUGGAUCACGUGAUCACUUAGAGGAUUAGAGGGAUGUCUUUCUAAGUGGGAGUUCUUAAGUAAUAUGAUUAAUUGAACUUAAAUUUAUCAUGAACUUAGUCCUGGUAGUAUUUUGCAAAUUAUGUUGUAGAUCAAUAGCUUGCGUUGUUGCUUUCAUAUGUUUAUUUUGAUAUGUUCCUAGAGAAAAUUGUAUUGAAAGAUGUUAGUAGCAAUGAUGCGGAUUGGAUCCGUUAUCUGAGGUUUAUCCUCAUUGCUGCACAGAAGAAUUAUGUCCUUAAUGCACUGCUAGGUGACAGACCUAUUGCAGGAGCAGAUGCAGACGUUAUGAACGUUUGGCUAGCUCAAUAUGAUGACUACUUGAUAGUUUAGUGCACCAUGCUUAACGGCUUAGAAUCGGGACUUCAAAGACAUUUUGAAUGUCAUGGACCAUAUGAGAUGUUCCAGGAGUUGAAGUUAAUAUUUCAAGCAAAUACCCGAGUUGAGAGAUAUGAAGUCUCCAACAAGUUCUAUAGCUAAAAGAUGGAGGAGAAUCGCUCAACUAGUGAGCAUGUGCUCAGAUUGUCUGGGUACUAGAAUCGCUUGAAUCAAGUGGGAGUUAAUCUUCCAGAUAAGAUAGUGAUUGACAGAAUACUCUAGUCACCAUCACCAAAUUAGUAGAACUUCGUGAUGAACUAUAGUAUGCAAGGGAUGACGAAAACGAUUCCCAAGCUCUUCGUGAUGCUGAAAUCGAUGAAGAUAAAAAUCAAGAAAAGCAUCAAGUGUUGAUGGUUGACAAGACCACUAGUUUCAAGAAAAGGGCAAAGGGAAGAAGUGGAACUUCAAGAAGAACGGCAAGCAAGUUUCUGCUCAAGUGAAGAAGCCCAAGUCUGGUCCUAAGCCUAAGACUAAGUGCUUCUACUGCAAAGGGACUAGUCACUGGAAGUGGAACUGCCCCAAGUAUUUGGCGGAUAAGAAGGAUGGCAAAAGUGAACAAAGGUAUAUUGGAUAUACAUGUUAUUGAUGUGUACUUUACUAGUGUUUAUAGCAACCCCUCGGCAUUUUGAUAUUGGUUCAGUUGCUAAGAGUAGUAACUCGAAACAGGAGUUGCAGAAUAAACAGUAAAUAGUAAAAAGGCGAGGUGACGAUGUGUGUUGGAAGUAGUUCCAAGAUUGAUAUGAUCAUCAUCGCACACUCCCUAUACUUUCGGGAUUAGUGUUGAAACUAAAUAAGUGUUAUUUGGUGUUUGCGUUGAGCAUGAAUAUGAUUUGAUCAUGUUUAUUGCAAUACGGUUAUUCAUUUAAGUAAGAGAAUAAAUUGUUGUUCUGUUUACAUGAAUAAAACCUUAUAUGGUUACCCACCCAAUGAAAAUGGUUCGUUGGAUCUCGAUCAUAGUGACACACAUAUUCAUAAUAUUGAAACCAAAAGAUGCAAAGUUAAUAAUGAUAGUGCAACUUAUUUGUGGCACUGCAGUUUAGGUCAUAUUGGUGUAAAGCGCAUGAAGAAACUCCAUGCUGAUGGGAUUUUGGAAUCACUUGAUUAUGAAUCACUUGAUGCUUGCGAACCAUGCCUUAUGGGCAAGAUGACUAAAGACUCCGUUCUCCGGAACAAUAGAGCGAGCAACUGACUUAUUGGAAAUAAUACAUACGGAUGUAUGCAAUCCGAUGAGUGUUGAGGCUCGCGGCAAGUAUCAUUAUUUUCUGACCUUCACAGAUGAUUUGAGCAGAUAUGGGUAUAUCUACUUAAUGAAACAUAAGUCUGAAACGUUUGAAAAGUUCAAAGAAUUUCAGAGUGAAGUUGAAAAUUAUCGUAACAAGAAAAUAAAAUUUCUACGAUCUGAUAGUGGAGGAGAAUGUUUGAGUUACGAGUUUGGUCUACAUUUGAAACAAUGCGGAAUAGUUUCGCAACUCACGCCACCCGGAACACCACAGCGUAAUGGUGUGUUCGAACGUCAUAACCGUACUUUAUUGGAUAUUGUACAAUCUAUGAUGUUUCUUACCGAUUUACCACUAUCCUUUUUGGGGUCAUGCAUUAAAGAUAGCUGGAUUCACGUUAAAAAAGGGGCACCACCUAAGUCCAUUGAGACGACACAAUAUGAACUGUGGUUUGGCAAGAAACCAAAGUUGUCGUUUCUUAAAGUUUGGGAUUGCGAUGCUUAUGUGAAAAAGUUUCAUCCUGAUAAACUCAAACCCAAAUCGGAGAAAUGUGUCUUCAUAGGAUACCCAAAGGAGAAAGUUGGGUACACCUUCUAUCACAAAUCCGAAGGCAAGACAUUCGUUGCUAAGAAUGGAUCCUUUCUAGAGAAAGAGUUUCUCUCCAAAGAAGUGAGUGGGAGGAAAGUAGAACUUGAUAAGGUAAUUGUACCUUCUCCCUUAUUGGAAAGUAGUUCAUCACAGAGAUCUGUUCCUGUGACUACUACACCAAUUAGUGAGGAAGCUAAUGAUGAUGUUCAUGUAACUUCAGAUCAAGUUACUACCGAAUCUCGUAGGUAAACCAGAGUAAGAUCCGCACCAGAGUGGUACGGCAAUCCUGUUCUGGAAGUCAUGCUACUAGAUCAUGAUGAACCUACAAACUAUGAAGAAGCGAUGGUGAGCCCAGAUUCCGCAAAAUGGCUUGAGGCCAUGAGAUCUGAGAUAAGAUCCAUGUAUGAAAACAAAGUAUGGACUUUGAUUGACUUGCCCAAUGAUCGGCGAGACAUUGAGAUUAAAUGGAUCUUCAAGAGGAAGACGGACGCUGAUAGUGUUACUAUCUACAAAGCUAGAAUUGUCGCAAAAGGUUUUCGACAAGUUCAAGGUGUUGACUACGAUGCGAGUUUUUCACUCGUAUCUAUGCUUAAGUCUGUCUGAGUCAUGUUAGCAAUUGCCAAAUUUUACGAAAUCUGGCAAAUGGAUGUCAAAACUGCAUUCCUUAAUGGAUUUUUUAAAGAAGAGUUGUAUAUGAUGCAACCAGAAGGUUUUGUCGAUCCGAAAGGUGCUAACAAAAUGUGCAAGCUCCAGCGAUCCAUCAAUGGACUGGUGCAAGCAUCUCGGAGUUGGAAUAUACGCUUUGAUAAGUUGAUCAAAGCAUAUAGUUUUAAUACAGACUUGCGGUGAAGCCUGUAUUUACAAGAAAGUGAGUGGGAGCACUACAGCAUUUCUGAUAAGUAUAUGUGAAUGACAUAUUGUUGAUCGGAAAUAAUGUAGAAUUUUUCUGGAAAGCAUAAAGGAGUAUUUGAAAGGAGUUUUUCAAAGAAAGACCUUGGUGAAGCUGCUUACACAUUGAGCAUCAAGAUCUAUAGAGAUAGAUCAAGACGCUUGAUAAGAUUUUUCAAUGAGUACAUACCUUGACAAGAUUUUGAAGUAAUUCAAAAUGGAACAGUCAAAGAAAGAGUUCUUGCCUAUGUUGCAAGGUGUGAAGUUGAGUAAGACUCAAAACCCGACCAUGGCAGAAAAUAGAAAAGAAUGAACAGUCAUUCCCUAUGCCUCAGUCAUAGGUUCUAUAAAGUAUGCUAUGCUGUGUACUAGACCUAUUGUAUACCUUCCUCUGAGUUUGCCAAAGGAAUACAAUUUUGAUCUAAAAGUAGAUCACUAGAACAGCGGUCAAGAAUAUCCUUAGUGAGGACUAAGGAAAUGUUUCUCGAUUAUGGAGGUGAUAAAAGAGCCAGUCAUAAAAAGUUACAACGAUGCAAGCUUUUACACCAAUCCAGAUGACUCUAAGUCUCAAUCUGGAUACAUAUUGAAAGUGGGAGCAAUUAGCUAGAGUAGCUCUGUGCAGAGCAUUGUGGACAUAGAAUAUUUGCAAAAUACAUACGGCUCUGAAUGUGACAGACCCGUUGACUAAACUUCUCUCAUGAACAAAACAUGAUCAUACCUUAGUACUCUUUGGGUCUUAAUCACAUAGCCAUGUGAACUAGAUUAUUGACUCUAGUAAACCCUUUGGGCGUUGGUCACAUGACGAUGUGAACUAUGGGUAUUAAUCACAUACAUAUGUGAAUAUUGGUGUCAAAUCACAUGGUGAUGUGAACUAGAUUAUUGACUCUAGUGCAAGUGGGAGACUGAAGGAAAUAUGCCCUAGAGGCAAUAAUAAAGUUAUUAUUUAUUUCCUUAUUUCAUGAUAAAUGUUUAUUAUUCAUGCUAGAAUUGUAUUAACCGGAAACAUAAUACAUGUGUGAAUACAUAGACAAACAUAGUGUCACUAGUAUGCCUCUACUUGACUAGCUCGUGAAUCAAAGAUGGUUAAGUUUCCUAGCCAUGGACAAAAGAGUUGUCAUUUUAUUAACGGGAUCACAUCAUUAGGAGAAUGAUGUGAUUGACUUGACCCAUUCCGUUAGCUUAGCACUUGAUCGUUUAGUAUGUUGCUAUUGCUUUCUUCAUGACUUAUACAAAGUUCCUACAACUAUGAGAUUGUGCAACUUCCGUUUACCGAGGAACACUUUGUGUGCUACCAAACGUCACAACGUAACUGGGUGAUUAUAAAGGUGCUCUACAGGUGUCUCCAAAGGUACAUGUUGAGUUGGCAUAAUUCGAGAUUAGGUUUUGUCACUCCGAUUGUCGGAGAGGUAUCUCUGGGCCCUCUCGGUAAUACACAUCACUUAAGCCUUGCAAGCAUUGCAACUAAAGAGUUAGUUGUGGGAUGAUGUAUUACGGAACGAGUAAAGAGACUUGCCGGCAACGAGAUUGAACUAGGUAUUGGAUACCGACGAUCGAAUCUCGGGCAAGUAACAUACCGAUGACAAAGGGAACAACGUAUGUUGUUAUGCGGUUUGACCGAUAAAGAUCUUCGUAGAAUAUGUAGGAACCAAUAUGAACAUCCAGGUUCCGCUAUUGGUUAUUGACCGAGAAUAAUUUUAGGUCAUGUCUACAUAGUUCUCGAACCCGUAGGGUCCGCACGCUUAACGUUACGAUGACAGUUUUAUUAUGAGUUUAUAAGUUUUGAUGUACCGAAGGUUGUUCGGAGUACCAGAUGUGAUCACGGACAUGACGAGGAGUCUCGAAAUGGUCGAGACAUAAAGAUUGAUAUAUUGGACAGAUAUAUUUGGACACCGGAAAGGUUCCGGAUGAGAUUGGGACUAUACCGGAGUUCCGGGAGGUUACCGGAACCCCCCGGUAAGUAUAUGGGCCUUAUUGGGCCUUAGUGGAAGGGAGGGAGAAGGAGCAAAGGAGGGGGCGCCCCCCCCCCCCAAGCCCAAUCCGAAUUGGGAGGGGGGCUGGCCCCCCCUUUCCUUCUUCCCUCCCCUCUCUUCCUUCCCUCUCCUACUCCUAAUAGGAAAGGGGGGCCAAACCUACUUGGAGUAGGUUUUCCCCCCUAGGGCGCGCCUCCCCUCUUGGCCGCCCCCCUCCUCCUCUCCCCCUUUAUAUACGGAGGAGGGGGGCACGCCAUAGACACACAAGUUGAUCUACGGAUCGUUCCUUAGCCGUGUGCGGUGCCCCCCUCCACCAUAUUCCACCUCGGUCAUAUCGUCGCAGAGUUUAGGCGAAGCCCUGCGCCGGUAGAACAUCAUCAUCGUCACCACGCCGUCGUGCUGACGGAACUCAUCCCCGACGCUUUGCUGGAUUGGAGCCUGGGGAACGUCAUUGAGCUGAACGUGUGCUGAACACGGAGGUGCCGUACGUUCGGUGCUUGGAUCGGUCGAGUCGUGAAGACGUACGACUACAUCAACCGCGUUGUGAUAACGCUUCCGCUUACGGUCUACGAGGGUACGUGGACAAUACUCUCCUCUCUCGUUGCUAUGCCAUCACCAUGAUCUUGCAUGUGCGUAGGAAAUUUUUUGAAAUUACUACGUUACCCAACAAGGGUUUCCAACUUUUUUUGUAAAAAAACCAUUUUCUAUUUUCUAAAUGUAAAAAAGGGUGCUUUGUGUGAAGCAUGUACCAAAAACAGGGUACAAAAUGGCACCACUCCAAUUUUCACAAAAAUUAGACCGUAUUUUAUGGACAAUUCCCAAAAUCUGUAGAUUUAUCUCUAAAAAAUUAACAAUUGGUGUAUUUUUUUAAUAUUUAAUAAAAAUAAUAUAUAUUUUUAAUGGGAAAGGCAGAUAUUAAAAGGAUACCAUGGACAUCUGAGGGUGUACGUUGAAGCGUUGGAGGUGCCUUUACGUGCCAGUUUACGACGUGCUCAACCGGGAAUGUGGUAGUAUUAAUCAGUAUAUACUUUUAAAAAUCAAUAUAUAAUUUGUUUGGAUUAUUUUAGUUUGCAGGGCAAACUUAAAAUGGAUUUAUUUAGCCUAUUUUUGUGAAAUCACUAAUUAGGAGGUACCUUUUGCAAAGGUCACACCCCACUUUCAUUAGUGCUGACAGGUGGCACAUGGCAUGUGUGUCCCUUGUCGCAACAUGGGAGUUUGCCCUUUUUGUAGAUUCAUUUUUUUUAAUCUUUUAUCUCUUGAACCGCGCAUUCAAAUCACGACCCAUUUUUAUCGUUGGAUUUCUCACGCCGAGAUCUUUGAAACUAGUCACAUGUUAAUAAGUUCCGAUGAACUUUUUCUUCACGAAAAUCAAACAAAAAAAUAUGAAAACAAAAAAUACAGAAAGCAAAAAAAGAAAAAAAAAACUAAAAUCACGGUUGUGCUUUUUUACAUUUUUGGGAAGAAAAAUUGUGCUUUCCCCUUUUUGGGAAACACGGUUUUGCUUCUUGUGAAAGCAUAGGUUGUGCUUUUCCCUUUUCAAGAAGCAUAGGCCAUGCUUCUCUUGUUCUCCGGGAAGCACAUAUGUGCCUUUCCUUUCGGGGAGCACAGUUUUCUCUUUCGGAAAAGCAUAGAUGUGUUUUUCCCUUUUCAGAGAAGCACUACCUAUGCAUCUCACCGAAGAACAUGCUGUGCUUUUCCUUUUUUGAGGAAGUAUAGUUGUGCUUUCCCUUUUUUACAGGGUAGCAAAAAUUGUGCUUUCUUCCUUCUCGGGAAGCUAUGCUUCCCGCGGAAAAGCACCGCCUCAUGAAAAAACAUAAAAAUGAUUUUUUUUUCAUCAAAACCUAGGGAAAACCAAGAAAAAAAGAAAACAUGUGUAAAAAAAUCUAAGGGUGAACCCAGUGCACGACACGUGGCGGCAAUUGGACGCAUCACUUGAUGCGCUCUCAGGUCCUAAAAGUAGCCUAUGUGGAAUCCCCCGAUGAGAUACCCGUUAGAUAGUUGGAGACCUCCUUGCAUCAAAUAGGAGGGUGGCCACAAAGGGGGCGCAUCCUGGUGGGCCGGCCCAGCAGCGUGCUACACUCUAGCGCAAAUUGGUCAAAAUCUAAAAAGUGAUGUGUGAUCAAAGCGCGCAUGGCUAGCCACUCAAGCUAAUGAAACUCUGCUAACUACUAGGCCGUGUUGAACUUUAAAAAGUACUAUAUGAUACCCCGCGCGUUGUUGCGGGAACUCUUAGUACUUUACAUGAAGAAGCUUGUGGAGUGAAAAUAAUUAAAUGAUGAAAAUAUACACUUUUUAAAACCUUUGGUGGUACUUGUAGGAACAUUAUGGAGUGAAAAUAAGUUAACAAUUAAUAUAUUUUUGAACGUUUGAUGGUAUUUUGAGAAUCAUGAGAGAAAUGGUAUAUUAGGGUAUCUCUGUAUUUAUGUAGUUAGAACGCGCCACCCUUUAGCGGGGAAUUAAAUGCAUCGCUAACAUUAAAAAAUAGAGCAUAUAGUUUGAUGGGAAUUUCACUGAAAACAUGGCCAGCCAAGUCUAAAGCUGAAUAUUACACUGAACAGAGAGCCCAAUCAUUGCCUAACACAAAAGCACUAAUGCUUGUUGAGUUAUUUGUAAUAUAGGAGCAGAAUCCCUUCGAAAGAGAAAUUCCAAAAUAUUAAAAAGAUCCAACAGUAAGACAUCCAUACACCUUACAGUUUAUACAUGGAGACAAGCUACAUACCAAUCGCUAAAAAAGGUGAAUAUAGAGUCAUGCACAUCAGGCCCUCAUGGCAUAGAUGCAUUUCUUCCACUAAAAGGACAUGCCUUAAGGGGAUUAGUGUAGGUGUGAAGAUCUGGACAUAUAAAUGGCAGGAAUGACUUCAUCUUCCUGCCCCUUCUGUGGAAACAAAAGCCCGACUUCAAUUGGGAUCCGUUUGACAUGUUGCUCCCUCUUCAUAAAAUGGAGCUGAUCGUUAUCUAAAAGCAAGCUAGGUAGAUUUGGCAUGGCCAGCAGUAGUACUUGCUACUUUGCCAGUUGUGAUGCAUCAUAUGAGAAGGCAAGGAAGGUUGCGUGCUGCCAUGGCCGGACCCUUUGGGGUGCCAAAUGGUGUUCAAAUUUAUAGUAGGUUCCAUUUUUGGUGGGAAUCCAAGAAAAAGAAGGCAAUGGAGUAAGAUGACAACCCAUUCCCAGACUGCCACUCAAAAUCAAAAUGAAGAGGGUAAAUAAAUGUACUUACUAAGAACACACGGAUAACAUACAGCUGGCUACAGAAACAGCCAAACUUUGUAAGUCCAUGGAAAUUGAGGAAAUUGUGAAAACUAUUUCUGUGAGUAGAAGGAAACGUAGUCCAGUUACCUUUCAUGGUAAUGCUUCUCUUGAGACGAUUCUUAGGAUCCCUGAAGAAUGUCUUCUGUUUUCCUGAAGCGGGAUUCCUUGCUAGAGCAGUACCUUUUGUUCUCUUGAGUUAAGGCAGAGUGGGAAAUACAUCACUAUCAGCUCUAGUUCAAUUGCUUGUAUUUUACAAAAACAUACAAUUGAAACAAUUAUCAGGAAAAGUUAUUACCUUAAUCGCAGCAACUCUUUGAGCAUGCAAUUUGGCGUCUUGGUGUAUAAUCUUCAUGUGUAAACAAUUUGUUUUAGCAUCUAGACUCUAUAAUUAAAAUUAAUAAGUUCUUUAAAACCCAAAGGCAACUAUAUAGACCAAUACAAUUAAACAAAGCCAGCGGGUAGGUUUCAAAUAUUAAGUAGCAGGGCUCCAUAGUUAACUCUCCAUCAUGCAGGCAUUUAGUGUAGUAGAUACAAGACAUACGUGUGACAGAUUGCAUAUGAACAACAUUUAUUAGUAGGAAAAUUGUACUACCGUAUAUUGCACUAACACUAACUAUAUGAAGAAGCCAAUAGCAUGUAAUUUCAGCUUGCAAGAAAGCGCCACUUACUCUUAUAGAUCGGCUAAUCUACAUGGCAACUUCUGGGGAUGGUGAUGGAUAAGUACAGUUGGAUCGUUUUUAGAUGUUAAUCUAUUAUUAUAAAAAUCAUCUUCCUUUACUUUCAAGGGAGAACUGUAGAGGGGAAAGAACAACAUUUUUUAAUCUAAUGAUCCAUCACUUAUUCACAACUAUUGCAAUAACCAAGUAUGUUGGAUGCAAGGACGAGGUGAGAGUGCAGGCAACAUGUAUGUCACAUCAUGCGAACAGGUGGGGAUCAUGUUAAGUCAAUGCAGAAGGAUGCGUUGUGUGUCCGCGCACCGUCAACACCGCCGAGUAAACAGUAAACUAAACCUGGGGACCAGUGCUCUUGACCUUCCCAGCUACUUCUGGCAUAGGGGGAAUAUUUGAGGAUUUAUAGUGCUGAGAUUAGGGUUAGGAGNNNNNNNNNNNNNNNNNNNNNNNNNNNNNNNNNNNNNNNNNNNNNNNNNNNNNNNNNNNNNNNNNNNNNNNNNNNNNNNNNNNNNNNNNNNNNNNNNNNNNNNNNNNNNNNNNNNNNNNNNNNNNNNNNNNNNNNNNNNNNNNNNNNNNNNNNNNNNNNNNNNNNNNNNNNNNNNNNNNNNNNNNNNNNNNNNNNNNNNNNNNNNNNNNNNNNNNNNNNNNNNNNNNNNNNCUCCUCCCGAAGCUUCCUAGGUUUCUUCUGGUCCAAGAAAAAUCAUCGUAAAGUUUUAUUCGUUUGGACUCCGUUUGAUAUUCCUUUUCUGUAAAACUCAAAAACAAGAGAAAAAAACAGAAACUGACACUGGGCUCUGGGUUAAUAAGUUGGUCCCAAAAAUAAAUAAAAUAACAUAUUAAUGCAUAUAAAUCAUCCAAAAUAGAUAAUAUAAUAGCAUUGAACAACCAAAAAUUAUAGAUACGUUGGAGACGUAUCAGGAUCAUGUUAAGUCGAUGCGAAAGGAUGCAUUGUGUGUUCGCACACUGGAUGCUUGCAUUUAUAUGGCUCUAUCAGCAUCGCCGAAUAAACUAAAUCUGGGGACCGGUGCUCUUGACCUUCCCAACUACUUCGACUGGAAAUCAGAUCCUCCAUGCCAAAUAAGAAAGACCGUUCAGGUCGUGCUGAUAGAGAGGAAAGAGACCACUCACCUCCGACAAUGGCACGUGUGGCUCGCCUGAAGGUCCUUGGGUUGAAUCCACGGUGUUGGGCUAGCGUAGCACCCAUUGGCGGCAAUCAUGGGGCUCCAAGAUGGCGUCACCGUGUAGAUGUCUGGUGUUGUUGGCCAUAGACGGUUUUGUCAAAGGCGACGCAUUAUGGAAAGAUGGAGAGAUAAAAGAGGGGAGGAGAAGAACCUGGAAGACAAUAGAUAUUUAUUGGUGAAGGGGAGAUGAACGGAAUCAUCGGGCGAAGAGGUGAUGGCUCGUGUCCGCAUUAGUAUUUUCCCCGAAGAGGAAGGGAUGAUGCAACACAGCUACGGUAGGUAUUUCCCUCAGUGAUGAGACCAAGGUUAUCGAACCAGUAGGAGAACCACGCAACACUAUGUAAAUGGUACCUGCACACAAAGAACAAAUACUUGCAACCCGACGCGUAAGAGGGUUGUCAAUCCCUCCCGGGUAAAAGAUAGAUUGGUUUCUAGUAGAUUGGAUAAAUAGAUCUCGCGGAAACGCAAAAUAAAAUAAAUAACAAAAAAUUGCAUCAAGGUAUUUUUGGGUUUUUAGAAUAAUAGAUAUCUAUACCUAUUAAUAAAAGAAAUAGGUAUUCUUCGUCCGUCAUGCUAUUUUGUAGAAAACCCCCUGAUGUUUCUGACAUUAAACCAGCAGUACAUAUCAAGUGCUUUUUAAAAUACUCAUAAUUUUAAACCAUAACUCCAAAUUUAACAUAUUAUAUAUGGAAUUUAAUUAGAAAAUUAUUUAGAAUCUAAAUAUGAUGUUAUUUUACCUGUUAACAAUUUUUAAAAUAAACUAUCUAGGCUGCAAUGUUAAUCAACAAUGCAUUAUCCGUCUUUUUUUCAUACCGGUAUUGAUUUAGAUUGGGGAUGAAAACCUCAGCAAAAUCAGGAUUGGACAUCAGAUUGAAGAUAAAUUUGUUAGAGACACCGAAUAAAUAAGGACAUGCAUGACAAGAAAUAAAAAGAUCCAAUAAAGAUGGGAUGUCCGCUAUAAAAAUAAAUAAAAGAGAAAAUGCAGAGGAGAUCCGAUAAAGAUGAGAUGUUGCGCUAUUCUCCUAUAUAUAAGAAGAGUAAAAGGAGGACAUGCAUGAAAAAAGGUAAAAAGGAGGCAUGCAUGAAAAAAAUACAAGUUUUAUAAGAAAUAAAUAGUGAUGAAACAGGGACCAAUACCUAUGACAUGUAUGGCAAGAAAUAGUGAUGAAAUAGGGGCACAAGUACCUGAGUCAACAGGAGACCAUAAAAAAUGUUGUUUUCCAGACCAAAAAAAACCUAUUUUAUGAUUAAAAAAUCUUGUACCUUUUUAACAACCUUUUUAACUCUUCAUGUAUUUAAGAAAUAGCUACAAAUUCUCGGAUUAUAAAACAUUUUUUGUAAAUUAAGAGUGUGUGGUACUUUUUUCCCGUUGCAACGCACGGGCCUUUUUGCUAGUGAAAAUAAAAGAGGCAAAUAAUAGAUCGGAAAGCAAAUAUGAUAAAGAAUAGACCCAGUGGCCGUAGAUUUCACUAGUGGCUUCUCUCCAGAAAAAUUGCAUACAGUGGGUAAACAAAUUACUGUUGGGUAAUUGAUAGAACUUCAAAUAAUUAUGACGAUAUCCGGGCAAUGAUCAUUAUAUAGGCAUCAUGUCCUAGAUUAGUAGACCUACUCCUUCCUGCAUCUACUACUAUUACUCCACACAUCGACUGCUAUCCAGCAUGCAUCUAGUGUAUUAAGUUCAUGGAAAAAUGGAGUAAUGCAAUAAGAAUGAUGACAUGAUGUAAACAAGAUCUAUUCAUGUAGGAAUAGACCCCAUCUUGUUAUCCUUAAUGCAACGAUCAAUAUGUGUCUUGCUGCCCCUUCUGUCACUGGGAAAGAACACCGCACGACCGAUCCCAUCACAAAGCACCUCUUCCCAUGGCAAGAAAAAUCGAUCUAGUCAACCUAACUAAACAAAAGAUUCGAAGAAGAAUACGAGGCUAUAAGUAAUCAUGUGUCUAAGAGAUCAAAACUCAAAUAACUUUCAUGUAUAAAAUAGAUCUGAUCAUAAACUCAAAGUUCAUCGGAUCCCAACAAACACACCGCAAAAAGUGUUACAUCAAAUAGAUCUCCAAGAGACCAUUGUAUUGAGAAUCAAAAGAGAGAGAGGAAGCCAUCUAGCUACUGCCUACGGACCCAUAGUUCUACAAUGAACUACUCACGCAUCAUCGGAGAGGCACCAAUGAGGAUGAUGAACCCCUCUGUGAUGGUGUCUAGAUUGGAUCUCAUGGUUCCGGAACUUGCGGCAGCUCGAAUUGUGUUUCGUCGACUCCCCUAGGGUUUUUGGAUUUUCGGGGUAUUUAUAGAGCAAAAAGGUUGUGCGGGAGGGCACCGAGGUGGGCACAACCCACCAGGGCACGCCUGGGCCCCCAGGCGUGCCCAGGUGGGUUGUGUCCCCUGGGGACACCCAUCUGGUACUUCUUUGGCCCAAGUUGUUCCUUCUGGUCUAGAAAAAUUCUCCAAAAAGUUUCGUUGCGUUUGGACUCCGUUUGGUAUUGAUUUUCUGCGAAGUAAAUAACAAGCAAAAAAUAACAACUGGCACUGGGCAAAUAGGUUAAUAAAAUGAUAUAAAGUUGCUAUAAAAUGAUUGUAAAAUAUCCAAGAAUGAUAAUAUAACAGCAUGGAACAAGCAAAAAUUAUAGAUAUGUUGGAGACGUAUCAAGAGGCAAUAAGAGGAAGGCGCAGCAAUCAGUUCGACGGUAGUAAAAAAUUACACGAUUCCUUUCGUUGAAAAGGGAAAAAGGAAGCAUUGGUGAUGUGGCAGAUUUUCUAACCUGGAUGGCAGCAUGUUGAUUGCUGAUGUGGAUAGGCUACAUGUCAAGAGAAAUACGGUACUGGGGAUGAACUAUUUAGGUAUUAUAUAUGCGCAACAUCACAUCUAAACUCUUUAUGAAAUUACAAAACACGAUGGUUUUUAAAAUGGAUAUAUUUUGGAACCCAAUUUUUUAAAAUUUAUGAAUAAAUUUUUGAAAACUUGAACAAUUUCUUGAGUCUAUGAACAAUUUUUUGAACACGAACUUUUUUUCAAAAUUUCAAAACGCAAUUAUUUUUUUAAUGUAACCUUUUUCAAAAUUCAAAAACAUGAUUGUUUGUAAAGUGAAUAUGUUUUUAAAAUUCUAGACUAAAUUUGCAAGUUGAAUAUGUUUUGAGAAACACUCGAAAUUGUGGACGUUUUCUAAAACGUCAAAGAACUUUGAAAAACAUCAAACAUUUUUCAAAGCACGGAUUCUGGGAAAAAAACAAAUUCCGAACAUCUUUUAGAAAUUUUGAAUUUAUGAAAAAAGAAAAAGAAGCAGAAAAUGAAAAAAGAAAGAAAGCAAGGAAAAGCAGUGAAGAAAUAAAACAGAAAAAGGGAAAAAACCUGAAAAUAGUGGUAAAGACUGAUCCUAGCUACUUGGGCUGGUCCAUCUAUGGUUUACUCGCUGCUCAUUUCGGAGAUUUCUUUUAGGGGUAAAACCAAGUUUUAUACAUCAAACACCAUAGAGUGUGGGAUAGAGUUUGGGUCAUGGCAUUUUCCAAAGCAAACAUUGCGUCCCAGACCUAACGAAAGAGAAAACCUGCCUAGAUUAUGUGCUUCGACAUUUACAGGAUGAUCUUUAGAUAAAAAAAUACAAUGAAAUAAAUACGGUUGCAACUUGAUCUCGUUGAUAAUGGCUCGUUUCCACAUAGUUUGCUCACAUUUUUGAGAGAAAAUUUAGCCUUGAUGGGCUGGGAAAUUGGGCCAGCCAUCCUCGAGUGUGACUGGCUUGUCUUUGUCUAGUAUAAAUCCCAUCACGUUGCCCAAGAGCCCACCCUUAUCUAUUUUUCUACAGGACCCAUAUAUGUUUGGUUCCUUCAGCACGAUGGGCCGCCUCCCAGCCUCCCUCGCCCGCUCGACAGCUCCCCCACCAAUAGAGUUAGGCCCUCGACCCUCCCCCACCCCAAGGUUGCGAGCAUGUCCCUUCCCGACAUCUCUUCCACACGGCCUCGUCCCACCCCAUGUUCUCCCCCAAGUGCUUUGUCGAGUGUCAUGGAAAAAUAUUCUUGGCAAGAUAGUGGAACUCACGCAAAAUGUGCUUUAUCGAGUGCUACACUCGGCAAAAGGGGGUAUGCAGGGAAGCAAAAUCAUGCUUUUUUCCUUCUCGGGAAGCUGCGCUUCCCGUGGAAGGCUUCAUCAAAAACCAGAAAAAAAGAUUUUUUUUUUCAUCAAAACCUAGGGAAAAUAAAAGAAAAAAAACACGUGUAAAAAAUAAAAUCUUAAGGGUGUACCUGCACACGACAUGUGGCCGCAGUUGGGCACAUCACUUGAUGCGCUCUCAGGGCCUCAAAGUAACCUCUGCAGGAACCCUCGACAAGAAACCCAUCAGACAGUUGGAGUCUCCCUUGCGUCAAAUAGGAGUGUGGCCACAAGGGGAGCGCGUCCUGGUCGGCCGGCCCAGUAGCCUGUAGCACUCUACCGCAAAUUUGUCAAAAUCUAAAACAUGACGUUUGAGCAAAGCUCGCAUGGCUAGCCAGUCAAGCUGAUGAAACUUUGCCAACUACUAUGUCGCGUUGAUCAGUAAAAAUUAUGUGCAACAUCACAUAUGAAAAAAAAUUGGAAUUUCAAAACACGGUUGUUUUUAAAAUGAACUAGUAAAGUGGCCCGCUCGAUGUGCGGGCUAGAUUUUUAAGUUUUUUUUAAUAAUAUCAUAUUGUUUGAUUUGGCUAAAGAAAAAUUGGAACCCAAUAUGACGACUUUAUUGUGCGGGCUCAAUCUUUGAAUUGUCUAUUAUGUUUUAUGAUUGAAUUUCUUAUCUGUAGUAAGUCAAUACAUAAUUAUGACGACUUUAUUGUGCGGGCUCAAUCAAUAUUAUUAUUUACUGUUAUUCUUCUUAUUUUUAUUGUUAAAAAAACAAUGUUAAAGUCAACCCAUUUGAAAAAAACUAAUUUAAUGUAAGUAUAGUAUCUAAAGUCCUAGUAUAGUAAUUUCAUUUCAAUUUAAUUUUAUUGUAUUCUUCCAUUUUGAAAAUGUAUUUUUAUUAUGAAUCUAGCACUUUAGUUAAAAUACAAAUAAAACUACUACAUUACUGAUCCCAAAAUUAAACAAAAAUGUGUACAUAAACUUGUCUUUAUCAUCGAUGAAUUACAACCAGAUCAUAUGUUUAAAUAAUGGAUAUUUAUAUUAUUAAUCAACCAAGCAUAGUUCUUUUGAUCUCGUAGAUUGUGAUUUUCCAAUAGUGUCUUGUCUUUUUGUUUAUGUGCAAAUAAUAGUUCACCUAUCAUAUUUUACGAGAAUGGGAAACAAAUAUAAGAAAUAGAACUGAAAGAAUUAUAUGGACGUCUAUUCUUGGAAAAUUGUUUAUGGUGUCACCAUCUCGUUCACGUGUGAGUAUGCAAUCUAAUUUCUAACAUGGCAUUCUUUCAUGCGUGAAGAAAUUUCAAGUUAUCACAACGCGACAUGAGUUCGAUAGAAUAUUAACUCAUUCGGAAAAAAAGAUAUGUACAUACAAAACUAAUGAAGUAACUUCAGUAAAAAUUAAUAUGUUACCCAAGAUUUUGAGGGACUGUGAUUUUGAAGGGGUAUUACAUUUUUGUAAUGUUAACUUGACACAUUGGUGAGAAACACAAUUCGAAUAGAAUACACUAAAGCUGAGAAAACAGAACUUUGUUGAACAAUAAUUAACCGGCUAAGAACUUACAAUGUAUCAUGCCUUUGCUGUUAACAACUAUAUGCAGCAGUAUUUUUUUUAUAUUUAUAAUUAUCACUCAAACUAACUUUUUAGAAAGCAUACUAAUUAGUUAGAUAUUCAGGGAUGCAUUGAUAACAGUAAUCGCUAUCGUCUAGCCUUGCCUCCUGUCUGAUGCACUACAAGCAAAGGAUUCAAAACUACGUUUUCCUGUAAUGUAAAACAAUAAUACUUCAUGGAGAUCAUGUUUGCAUGUGCAUAUGGAAUUUAUCAAUAGUAGGUAGAAAAGUCCUAGCUAGCUUAGCUUAGCUUAGGAUAACGCCCUGGCAUCUAAACUGCUUCAUAUAUGCAAUCCAAUUGUAUGGGUCAAAUAUACAAAACCUGAAGCUCAUGGUCUAGAUGUUUCAUUGAUAAUAUCAUUUCCACCAGACUGGCGACCGAUUAUACAGUAGUCUACCUGUAUUGUUUAACACUGAGAUACCGCAUCAGCCAAAUCAUAGCACCUGAGGUGCCUCUUCUAGUGGACGGUGAGAGCAUAUCUGUAAUAAUCAUCCUUUGUAUAACAUUAUUUAUACCUCCAAAUGUUGCACCACACAUGUUCAUCUUUAGAGUCAAGCCCUAUUGCAGCGCAGGUUGUGCUUGGCCAGCACCUUCGUGAUGAACUUGCCAGUGACCACAGUGCAAGCAACUACCAGUACCCAGGAAGCCUCGACGAAGCCAAUGACGUACUGCUCUAUUUCGCGCCGGUCCCAUGUGGCCCACUUGUUUCCCUGAGCAUGUCGGUAUCGACAAAGGAACGAUAGUCGCUAGAUUAAAGGGAAGUGAGAUGGAAAGACACACUCGAGGAGGAAGAUGUUUAGGACUAUGUAUUUGCAUACUCUUUUGGAUCAAGGACGUGGGAUGUAAGUACGGUGUUUGCCUUUUUUUCUUUCUCUUUUUAGCUUUGAAGGGAUGUGUACAUGUUUUUUUUUAUGUCUACAUGCUUGAUUUUUUUUCCUCUGGAGGGAUAUGUACUUGUUUGUAUUUUUAAAAGGUUGGGGGAUCAUUCAUUUUGUACGCACUUGUUUUUUUUUCAAAUGUAUGUACGUGCCUGAUGGAUAUGUGUGGGGACGUUCUUUUUUAUAUAUGUGGGAUAUGUACGUGCNNNNNNNNNNNNNNNNNNNNNNNNNNNNNNNNNNNNNNNNNNNNNNNNNNNNNNNNNNNNNNNNNNNNNNNNNNNNNNNNNNNNNNNNNNNNNNNNNNNNNNNNNNNNNNNNNNNNNNNNNNNNNNNNNNNNNNNNNNNNNNNNNNNNNNNNNNNNNNNNNNNNNNNNNNNNNNNNNNNNNNNNNNNNNNNNNNNNNNNNNNNNNNNNNNNNNNNNNNNNNNNNNNNNNNNNNNNNNNNNNNNNNGUGCCUGAUGGAUAUGUGUGGGGACGUUCUUUUUUUUUUCCAUGAUGGAUGAACGAUGUGGGAUGUGUAUUUUUUUAUAUCUGGGGGGUACACUCUUUUUUAGUGUCCACCGGGUUAUGAAGAUCUAAGGCCUAUGAUUUAUUAGUACAGAGAAGUUCUAUUAAAUCAACCAUCGGAUACUUCUGAUUUUUAUAGAAUUUUUGAUCAUAUUUCUCUUUGUUAGUUAACCUGCUAUUUACUUUUAAUAUAUAGUAGAUACUAUAUAUGCAGUACGUGACCAUGUAUGAGUUUGUGAGGGAUUCUCUAUAUACACAUAUGUGCGUUUGUUUUUUCCUUAUGGAACAGAUGUGCAUGCACGUGCUUUCCAAUUAACAUGGUAGGCUUGCCAAAAAAAAUUAACGUGAUUCCUCACGCAACAUCUUUUUUUAUAGAAGAGCUCUGACAACCGAAUAAUCCAGGCUUUUUUUCUAGAUUGGAAAAUAUCUACGUGGGACAUGUGCCAUGUAAAUCCUUAGAGGCCCAUCAUAUUAUAUAUGUUACGUAAAUUGAACGGUCACGUAAUCUUAAUUUUAAGAGAUUUACCGGAUCGAGGGUUAUUAUUUUCUAAUUAAUGUGGAAUUUUAUAACCUAUUUCUCUCCCUUUUGGUUCACCGUAUAUUACUUUUAGUAUAUAAAAUAGAUGGUUUUUGGAACAUGGACUUUUUCCAAAUUUAUGAAUAAAAUUUGAAAACUAGAGCAAUUUUUGACUAUAUCAAGGUUUUUUUUUAACACAAACUUUUUUUGAAAUUUUAAAACACGAUUAUUAUUUUAAUACAACCUUUCUUAGAUUUCAAAACACGUUUUUAAUGAAUAUUUUCUUAAACCCUACCAAAAGUUGAAAAUUUGAACAUUUUCAAAAACACUCCGAAGUGUGGACAUUUUCUAAAAAACGUGAAAGGAUUUAGGAAAACUUCAAACUUUUUCAAAGCACGAAUAAUUUUUGGGAAAAAUGAAACAAAAUCAAAUUCCGAACAGUUUUUGAACAUUUUUUUAGAAAUGUUGAAUUUAUGAAAAAAAAGGAUAAAUUAUGAAAGAAACGAAAAUUGGUGAAGAAGAAAACAAGAGAAGGAAAAAAACUAAAAAAUAGUGUAAGAAAAAAACACCAAUACUAGCUACUUGGGAUGGUACAUAUGCGGUUUGCUCACUGCACAUUUCCUAAAUUUUUUUAGGGGUAAAAGCAAGUUUUAAUCAUCAAACACCAUAGAGUGUGGGAUAGAGUUGGGGUCGUGGAAUUGGUUAAACCCAACGCGGCGUCCCAGACCUAACGAAAGAGAAAGACUGGCUAGACUAUGUGCUUCGACAUUGAUAGCAUGACCUUUACAAGAAAAAUUACUAUCAAAUAAAGAUGGUUGCAACUUAAUCUCGUUGAUAAUGGCUCGUUUCCCACAUAGUUUGCUCACAGUUUUUGAGAGAAAAUUUAGCCUUGAUGGGCUGGGAAAUCGGGCCAACCAAUCUCAAGUGCGACCGACUCAUCUUUGUCCACUAGAAAGCCUGCCACGUCGCCCAAGAGCCAACCCUUAUCUUUUUUUUACAGGACCCGUAUAUGUUUUAUUCCUCCAGCAAGACCGGUCGCCGCCAAGCCUCUCUCGCCCGCUCGACAGCUCCCCCCGCUGCCGGGGCUAAGCCCUGGAUCCCCCCACCCCCAGGUUGCGAGCUUGUCCCAUCCCUCCCUCUCUUCUGCGUAGCCUCGCCCCACCUCGUCUUCUCCCCCACCGGUGCUUUGCCUAGUUUCUUGGAAAAAAACUCUCGAUAAAAUAUUGGAACUCUGAUAAAAUGUGCUUUCCUGAUUGCUACACUCGGCAAAAGGGGGUAUGCACUGCACUGUUUUGGUUGUCCAUAUUGCAUACGACCUCGGAUGAAGAUGAUCCCAAAAUCAAAGUUUAUCAUUUUGACAAGAUGAUUAAUUUUCAUGUUCAGAACUUUUCCAUUUUAAGCCAUGUUAUUUACACUUUGGGCAAUGCCAAAAUAUGGUCUCAAAUGAAUAUGGCGGUGGUCAUAUUUAUAGCAUAGUUUCUGACAAUGGGCCUAAAGUUGGCAUUUUGUUGCAUCUCGCCAUUACAAACAAUGAUGCCAAAUAGAGUUUCCAACAUUUUGUACAAAAACUAAUUUUCCCAUUUGCUAAGUGUAAAAAAUGGAUAUUUUAUGAAGCGGGUAAAAAAACAUAGUGCAAAAUGGCACCACCCCAAUUUACAUAAAAAGUAGACCACAUGUUUUAGAAAAUUCCCAGGUUUUGUGGAUCUUCUAGAUUUCUAGCUACUUUCCACAGUUAAAUUCAAAUUUGAACUUUAAGUCUGUGAUAGCUUUGUCCUAAAAAUUAGCAAAAAUGUAAUCUAUUUUUUUAGGUAUGCAAGUAGUCAUUUUAUGAAAUCACCACUUAAGUUUGAGAGAUUCAGGCCCUUGCCAUGACUAUCCAUGCCGGGCAUUUUGACCCCGUUUUGGAAAAAUGAAACAAAAAGGAUACAAGUUCAAAAAAAAUGCAAUCCAUUCGUAUGGACUCCUUUUAUGUGUACUAGCUAGGAUGAAAAUACCAAACUUCAAUAUGAAAACUUUGAAAGAAAAAUAUCCAUCACAAAACGGGCUAUCAUGUAUGAACCUUCACGGCUUUAAAGUCAAACGACCAAGGUGACGACAAUAUCCAUUCCAUAGUUUAUUAUAUUAUGCCCAAAUUAGACAUAUAGGUGAAUCAUGCCAUUGCAAAUAAUGUUGUAAAAUAGAGUUUCCAACUUUUUGUACAAAAAAUCAUUUACUAUUUUCUAAGUAUCAAAAAAAUGGGUGUUUCUUGUGAAGUGGGUUCAAAAAAUAGAGUGGAAAAUGGCACCACUCCAAUUUUCACAAAAAGUAGACCAUAUUAGAUGGACAAUUCCCAAGUUUUGUAGAUGUCUAGAUAAAAACUAACAAUUGGUGUAUUUUUUAAUAUUUAAUGAAAAUAAAAAACGGGCGAGAAUAUGACCAGGGGUGUAAACUGUGGAGGGGGCGCCGCACACGGCUAACAAUUGAUGUUGUGUGUUCUAGGCGCCCCCUUCCCCACAUAUAUAUAGGUGGGAGGGGAGGGGAGGCAGCCAGGGGGCACCCCAAGUAGGAUCUGAAUCCUACUUGGGGUUUCCCCAANNNNNNNNNNNNNNNNNNNNNNNNNNNNNNNNNNNNNNNNNNNNNNNNNNNNNNNNNNNNNNNNNNNNNNNNNNNNNNNNNNNNNNNNNNNNNNNNNNNNNNNNNNNNNNNNNNNNNNNNNNNNNNNNNNNNNNNNNNNNNNNNNNNNNNNNNNNNNNNNNNNNNNNNNNNNNNNNNNNNNNNNNNNNNNNNNNNNNNNNNNNNNNNNNNNNNNNNNNNNNNNNNNNNNNNNNNNNNNNNNNNNNNNNNNNNNNNNNNNNNNNNNNNNNNNNNNNNNNNNNNNNNNNNNNNNNNNNNNNNNNNNNNNNNNNNNNNNNNNNNNNNNNNNNNNNNNNNNNNNNNNNNNNNNNNNNNNNNNNNNNNNNNNNNNNNNNNNNNNNNNNNNNNNNNNNNNNNNNNNNNNNNNNNNNNNNNNNNNNNNNNNNNNNNNNNNNNNNNNNNNNNNNNNNNNNNNNNNNNNNNNNNNNNNNNNNNNNNNNNNCCCCCGGUACUCCUAUAAAUACCCGAUACAUUCGGGAACACUUCCGGUGUCCGAAUACUAUCAUCCUAUAUAUCAAUCUUUACCUGUCGACCAUUUCGAGAUUCCUCGGCAUGUCCAUGAUCUUAUUCGGGACUCCGAACAACAUUCGGUCACCAUAUCACAUAACUCAUAUAAUACAAUAUCAUUAUCGAACGUUAAGCAUGCGGACCCUACGGGUUCGAGAACUAUGUAGACAUGAUCGAGACACCUCUCCGGUCAAUAACCAAUAGCGGAACCUGGAUGCUCAUAUUUGAUCCUACAUAUUCUACGAAUAUCUUUAUCGGUCGAACCGUUAUGACAACAUACAUUAUUCCCUUUGUCUAUCGGUAUGUUACUUGCCCGAGAUUCGAUCGUCGGUAUCUGCAUACCUAGUUCAAUAUCAUUACUGGCAAGUCUCUUUACUCGUUUUGUAAUACAUCACCUCACUAACGGAUGGGUCUUGUCCAUCACAUCAUUCUUCUAAUGAUGUGAUCCCGUUAUCAAAUGACACCUCAUGUCCAUGGUUAGGAAACCUUAACUAUCUUUGAUCAACGAGCUAGUCAAGUAGAGGCUCACUAGGGACAUAGUGUUUGUCUAUGUAUUCACACACGUAUUGAGGUUUCCGAUCAAUACAAUUCUAGCAUGGAUAAUAAACAUUUAUCAUGAAUAAGGAAACAUAAAAUAAGAACUUUAUUAUUGCCUCUAGGGCAUAUUUCCUUCAAAUCAGUAUAUGUGUGCAUGCUUGGUUGUUAGUGAAAUGUUUUAUGUAUAUGUGUACAUGCUUGGUUGGGCCAACUUUGUGUAUUACAUUUUGUGAAAUACAAACUUGAUAUAUGCCACAUUUGUGUUAACGACCAAUAAGUAUAUACGUAACUAUAUUUUGCCUUCUUUUUCCUCCUCCACAAGAAAAGGUCCCAUGCUUUUCUCCUCCUCCAAUUGGCGCCGUAGCUAGUCCGCCCCAUCUUUGAUGGCCUUUGGGCCCUUUAGUACUGUACCGAACCAGCAGCCUUCGCGCCAAGCGACGACCGCCCUUGUCCCUUUCCUUUUUCCAUUCAGCCUACUUCUUAGCUUUGUUCUGUCAGUCUAAGGCAAAGCUUAAGUGGUUUGCCUACCUUACCCACUUGAUGAAAGGGAACGGACUUCAUUUCCUUGGCGGCUUUAUGGAUGGAUUCAGUCAGAAAAAACUCCUUCCUUUUGAAAAAAGUGACGCCACGAAGGUGAGUAGGACCUCAGGCCCUCGCUGGCGGGAGGGAACCUGUUCUCAUUCUUUUUUGGUUCAAUGUCUUGCUGGAGCGCUGUGUUGCGGCUAUGAUGUCUCUCAGUAGGAAUAAUGUUUCACAUGUUCUAUCCCUGUCUCGAUGGUGCCUCUAGCAUCAUCAUAGGGCAUGUGGAGGUGUGUCUCUAUCGGAUUUCGCAGGAUUCGGUCGGCAUUAGUCUUCGGUGGAUCUGUUUGGACACGGUCUAUGUUCAUCUUUGUGGUGUUUAUACUAUUGAUCCUUCCGAUCUAUGACUUUCUUCAUCGACGAUGGUUGCUGCUUCGGUGCGCUGGUCCUAUGGGUCCUUAGCACGUCAACUUCCUGACUAUUGACUACAACAAGGUUUGCCCGGCUCCAGCGAUCGGGGGGGGGGGUGAUGGCGAUGCACAGCUUUCUUUAGUGCUUGUAGUCAUCACUAGGUGGUCCAUGGACCUGGUUGUAAUUUUUUGUAUCUCUGGUGUUCUUUGUACUGCCAUGAUUGAAGAUGAAUAGAUUGGAAGUUUCUCACGCAAAAAUAACUAUAUAAAUAACUAUUUUAGCAAAAUUCGCAAAAAAAACUAUUUUAGCAAGUAAUAAAUUUUGACACCAAUUAUAUGGUAGUAAUUAAUAUUUACCCUAAUAAUAUCCGCAUUGGAUUCAGGUUUUAUACUAUGUAUACAAACGAGAGUAUGUUUGGAUAAUUGUGUGAACACAAGGAUAUAUCUUAGCAAAACUAUUUUUAGCAACAAGUAAAUGAAUUAAUAUAUGCUAGCUAUACUCUGCUGGUGAAAACAUGGUGUAUUAGUUGUACAAAGCAUGCAACACGGUUUCACUCCCCUUUAUAUUCCUGGGCGGAACACAAUUUCAGAUCCAAGUUUUAUGUUUGUCUACACAGUCCCAUCUUCUUCCCAUAUCAGCAGGAAAAUUCACUCCAAUCAUCUCGCCAUUCUACACUUGGGUAAUCAGGUUUGCUUCAAUCUACCAUCCUUGAAUAUAUGCCCCACAUCUUGUUUCUGCGUCCUAAUCUUAUUAAGCUUGUAAUUAGUAGUUAGUGCAAGAUCAAAAAGGAGCUAUGGACAAAACACCAUCCGCACCUGCUGAUAAAAUCACCAUAGGACAAGCGGUGCCUAAUCAUGAAAUAGCAGGAGAUUCAAGUGACAGUGAGAGAACAAUCAGUGAGGGUUAUGUGGGGAUCAUGUAUGGUGGUAGCCAAACCCACGAUGGCAACCUAGAAGGAGAAUCUGAUAUGGUAUUGCUAGCAACAGAUUCAAGUGACAGCGAGAGAACAACCAGUGAGGGUUAUGUGGGGAUCCUGUAUGGUGGUAGCCAAAUCCAGGAUGGAGACCUGGAGGGAGAAUCGGCUAUGGUAUUGCCUGCUGUAGGAGAGAAUACCACGGCGAGAUCUAACAGUCAUGGUUAUACGCGUAGCUUGGAAAUUGAUUCUACCUCUCGUAGUGAGAGGCAUGCUGCCAGGUCAGAUUCUGUUCUAGUGGCACAACGCCGAGACUGCAUACAAAUUUACCCUGAGUGGCUGGAGAAAAUUGAUUCAGGCAAAAAGAUGUGGACAGCUCUCAACCAAUUUCGAGCAAAUGGGAAGCACGAAGAGGUUAGUAUAUACACAUGUUCUGGUGUGCUCUCUCAUCAAAUAAUUUUCAUUGUGGGUUAAUCAUCUCAUAACAUAAGGAGUGUUUGCUUGAUGGGCAUUCAGACCAAAUGAUGAACGAAUUAGAUCCUAGGUUCUCCAAAAGAUGACAUUGUGUUUUGCUUCCGUUACCUCAUAGAUUUUCAGCCUUUGCGUCAAAAUGAUUUUAUGCAUUUGUUUUCGCACUAACUUGUAUUUUUUAAGCACAACCAUCCAUAUAUGUAAAAAAACUCAUGGCCACGUGUGAUUGAUAGAAAUCAGUUAACAUCUCAAUUUCCUCAUGUGCUAUUGUAUGACUACG
This 64714-nucleotide long non-coding RNA is filed under the name Triticum aestivum (bread wheat). RNAcentral describes it as "long non-coding RNA (TAES_LNC002260)". Lineage: Eukaryota; Viridiplantae; Streptophyta; Magnoliopsida; Poales; Poaceae. The record is from RNAcentral.